RNAcentral lists this long non-coding RNA (66850 nucleotides) under Gossypium barbadense (sea-island cotton). Its description in RNAcentral is "long non-coding RNA (GBAR_LNC010687)". Lineage: Eukaryota; Viridiplantae; Streptophyta; Magnoliopsida; Malvales; Malvaceae. The record is from RNAcentral.
ACCCGAAAGCUCGGAUACCAAUUUGUGAAAAAAAAGAAAACACAAAUUUUACGUGGAAACCCUUUCGGGAAAAAACAACAGGCAGAGGAGAAGAAAAUUCACUAUGUCGAAAAUUUGAAUCUAUACAAGAGGAAUAGACUAUGUCUAUUUAUAGGCUUGUAAAGCCAUAUUCUAGUAGGAUUGAAACACCUUAUCCUAAUAAAUAUAAAAUAGAUGGAGUUUAAUAAGGUUUAAAAAACCUUAUUCUAAAAUAAAAUAAAAGAAGUCUAGUUCUAUAUGGAUUUUACUUUUAUUUUAUUUUCCAUCGUAUUUUAUUUAAAUAAGAAUCCGGUUCACUUAAUUCUAACAAUAUUAAAGUCAAUGCGUUCUCAGAAAGUCCUUCCAAUCGAACUACUGGAAGAAGAUGAAGCAUGGAAGCUGUUUAAGGACCUGGCUGGUCCUAUAGCUGAAAGAUCUGACUUGCAACCUACAACAGAAAAAGUCACCCAAAAAUGUGCAAGAUUGUCGAUCGCUAUUGCAACAGUUGCAAAGGCUUUGAAACAUAAGGAGAAUUUGUAUGAAUGGGAGGACGCUUUGGAAAGGGAGCUAUCAGGUGAUGUGUAUUCAGCCAUAAAGAUAAGCUAAAACUACUUGGAAAUGGAGGAACUUAAAGAAACUUUCUUGCUCUGCAGUAUAAUGGGUCAUAAUACUGCCACUGCAGGCUUGCUGAAAUAUUGCAGAGGCUUAGGUUUAUUCUGUGAGCUUGACACAAUUGAAAAAGUACGGAGGAGAGUAUUGUCAUUGGUUAAUGAGCUCAAAGACUCUUCUCUGUUACUUGCUGGUUCUAACCUUGAACGAUUUGACAUGCAUGAUGUUGUUUGCGAAGUAGCCAUUGCAAUUGCUUCUAGGGAUCGUGGUUGGCUUACUUCGGGAAAAGAGGAUGUAUUUGAAGAGUGGUCAGAUAAGGAUAGAAUGAGAACCUGCAGUCUUGUUAGGUUACAAAAUACGAAGGUUAGGGAGCUACUAGGUGAGUCAAAAUUUUCAAAACUUUCCUUUUUCUUGGGUAGAGUGUAUUCGUCUUUAAAAAUUCCAAAAAAUAUUUUUGUGGGGAUGAAAGGACUCAAAGUAUAAAAUUUUACCUUCCUCCAUUGGUUUCUUGGAAACUCUUUGUACAUUUAGUUUGGUAGGUUGUGAUGUUAGGAGAGUGUAAUAACCUAAAUUUGCCCGGCCCGAAAAAUAAUAAACAAAGAAAACAAAACAAAAUAAUAAAAGUCCUUUUACAGUAGCCCAUGUACAUAGCCCAAUUAGUUUAAAACCCAAAUACCCGGUUACACCCAACCCAACACCUAAACACGGCCCAAGGGGGCCCAAAUCAUUAACAGAAGACAGAAGGCCUAGGGUUUCAAAAACCCUAGGCACCGCAAGCGUCAGACAAAGGAUCCUAAAUUCACGCCGCAAUCGGUGUGCCAAUCCCACCACCGGCAGAUUCGCAUCAUCAACGUACGAUUGUUGCCCAUUCUCUUGUCGUCACCUGCAAAAAGAGAAAGAAACACACAACAAAUAUGGCAAGGAAUCGAACAGGGGAAUGCACCAAACUUGUAAACAGAGGCUAUAAAAGCCGAAUAUCUUUACUGUGAACAGGAAGGGGGAAUUUUUUUUAAUACAUACAAAAUAGAUACACGCAUAUAUAGAUACAAGAAAGAAAUACAAGUGGUUUUUUUGAGAAAGGUGAUUUAAACAUACAUCGCGUUCAUCAUAGUUUAUUUUCAUUUGUUCAGUGCAUAUGAUUUGUUUUUUUUUUUUUACGAAAAACUGUUGGUAUUUAGAAGAGAAAAGAGGUUACUGUGUUUCGCCUGAAAAAUUGGAGGCUUUUCACCUUCCAACCGCCGUGGGCGGUGGUGCGUAUGGCGCGUGGGCGAUGAAGGCCGGAGGCUGGAGCUUGGAGGGUUCUUUACUUCCUCUCCUGCAGAGAAUUUUAAGUUUUUUUUUAAACUAGCUGUAAGAAAUGAAUUUUGGACCGAAAUCUGACUUAUAUAGCAUUAUAAAAAUGGUGUCGUUUUUGCUUAGUUCAAUAAGCAUUAAAACGACACCGUUUAAAUAAAGGACCCGUGCGUUGACCCGUGACCCGGGGAGGAUCCGCGUGUUUUUGGUAAAUGGACAAAUUGCCCAAUUGGUCCUUCCGCAUUUUCAAUAUUUAUAAUUUUAUUUUAUUUUAUUAUAAUUUGGCCCUGACCUUUUAUUCUUGUUUUAAUUUAGUCCUAGCUGCUAUAAUAAGGCCUAUUUUGAGAACGACGUCGUUUUGGGAUUAGAGACAAAUUGCCCAGUGAGUCUCUCGGCUUUAGCGCGUGUUUCAAUUAGGUCUAAAAUUCUUUUUUAUUAUUUUAAAAUUAACCCUAGAGUUUUAUUUUUAUUUCAUUUUAGUCGUUUUUAAAAUUUUUAUAUAAUUUAUUUAUUUUAAAUAUUUUAUAUAUUAUUUAUUUUUACUACAAACAUUAUUUAUAUAUUUUUAUCUAUGUAUUAUUCAUAUUUUAUUAGACAUUUAUUUAUAUGCUUUAUUAUAUAUUAUAUUAUUUUAAUAUAUAUUUUAUUCAUUAUAUUAUUUUUUAUUAUAUAUUAUAUUAUAUUAUUUAUUAUUAUGUACAAUUUUUUUAAAUUUUUUUUAACUAUUAUUAAAUAAUAUAUAUAUCAUUUUUAAAUAUUUAGUAUUUAAUAUUCUAAAAUUUAUUGCAAAAUUUUGUUCCUAUUUAACAUAUUAUUAUUUUUAUAAAUAUAUAUUAAACUAUUACAUUAUAUAGUAUAAUUUUUAAAGAAUUAUCCUUUAUUCUUUAUAUAUUGUUUUAAAUUUUUUUAUUUGUAUUUAAUAUUAUCUUUUCUUUUCUUCUGACUUUUGUUAUAUAUUCCUAAUUUAUUUAUUUUUGUAUCAGUUUGCAUUUAUUUAGUACUAUUUUAAUAUGUUAAUUGUAUCUUAUGAGUUACUUAUUAUUUAUUAUUUUAUAUAUUUGUGUGGAAAUUUAUGUUGUUAUUUUUAAGUUAUAUAUGCAUGAAAUAUUAUUGUAUAUAUUAUGUAAUUUGUGUUGUUCUAUUCAUUAUUCUCUAUGUUGCAUUUUGCAUGGAAUGAUAAUGUAUGUAUAUUUACGUUAUUUACGAUUAUAUAUGCAUGAAAUGUUAAUGUAUAUGGUGUGAUUUACGUCAUUAUUAUCAUUUUCCAUACUAUAUUUGCAUGAAAUGUUAAAGUAUGUAUCAGGUAGCUUAGUUUACUUAAUAUUGAUCUUUUGUAAUAUGUUAAAUACAUCAUUGCUUUUAAAAAUUAUAUCUCAUUUAAUCCAAAAGAAUUUUAAAAAGAGAGGCAAUGUUUUUGGUAUUUAGGAAUUCGGGAAAUAGUGCCCUAACAUGCUGGGUUGCGAUUUCCCGUUUGUCUAAAUGUUUAAAGUAUCCUUCUAAAUAGAUUUCGUAAAUCACGAGAUGAUUUCAAUUACGAAAGUUUAAGAAUAUUGUGUCCAAUCAUGCUGGAUGUGAUGUUUGUACUCUUUUGGAGUGAAAGAACCUCGAUUUUCAGCAAAUUAUUAUAGUUUUAAAAAGGGAUCUUAUUUCCAAACUCCUUCAAACUUUUGACAUCAAGACAGAAAACUAAUUUGGUACCAAUUUUGGGCAUUGUGAGGGUACUAAUCCUUCCUUGCACGUAAUCGACUCCUGAACCUAUCUUCUCAUGUUUUCGUAGACCAAAAUGUUUUAUAAGGUGAUCUAAUCACACCUAAAAAGGUUGGUGGCGACUCCUGUUUUCAAAAAUCUCGCUUUUAAAAUGGAGGUUUCGACAGAGAGUUACAAAAUUUAGAAAUCCAUGACCUCCGUAAUUUUACUAUUAGAGUGCUCCCAAAGGAAAUAGGAGAGUUGAGGAGGCUAAAAUUGCUAGACUUGAGUGGUUGUUCCAGUCUUGAAGCAAUAUCACCAAACGUAUUGUCAAGUUUAUCCAGAUUAGAAGAACUCUACUUAUAUGAUAGCUUUAAUAGAUGGGAUUGGGAGGUUGAGGGAAAUGAGAAUAAACCAAGGAGCAAUGUUAGUCUUGUUGAGUUGCAGAAUUUGUCUCGUCUGACCACUUUGGAAGUACAUGUUACGUUCCUGAUGUGCGAGCUAUACCCAAACAGAAGUUGUUUUCUGGAAACAUGGAAAGAUACAAGAUUUCCAUUGGAGAUGUUAAGUAGCAUUGGUCUGAGAGAUGGAUGGAAACAUCAAGAUUGCUGAAGCUCACAAGUCCUCAUUUGGCCCAUGAAAUUAAAACGUUAUUGAGUAAAACCCGAAGUUUAUAUCUAGUAGAAGUAGAACAUACCAUGGAAAUGCUUUAUGACCCGAUUACUGAAGGUUUUCCACAUCUAAAGCAUCUUGAGGUGUUUAAGGUCUCAGACAUCAAAUUUGUUAUUAACCCUAAGAUGUUGGUUUCUUCCUUGGAGUCAUCGUCUCUAGCGAAUUUGAUGAAUUUAGAGGCAAUAUGUGAUGGUCAACUCAAAGCUGAAUCAUUUGGCCGACUCGGAUCCGUAACAGUCCACAAUUGCGAUAUGUUGAAAAAUUUGUUCUUCUUCUCCAUGGCCAAAGGGCUUCGUCAAUUUGAAAAAAUAUCGGUAGACUUGCGAGAACAUGAGAGAGUUAAUACUAGUGGAAAAAGAAGAGAUUGGAGAGGAUGAUAUUUUGGAAUUUACUCAACUACGCUCCUUAACCUUGGAAUGUCUUCCCACAUUCAAUAGCAUGUGGAAUUCCUUUGCUACGUGGCUUUUUGAUAAAAAGUAUUUAAGCUAAUCUUUUUCUUUUUUCAUUUGUUUCCUUUUAAAUUAGUAAUUAAUUGGUAAGUGGGAGUAAAACAACAACAAUAAUUGCUUUAUAAAUUUUUAAAGUUUAUGGCAGUUUUGUCUUUCAAAAAAAGUUUAAAUUUGGAUCUUCUCUUGAAAAUAUAAUGUGCAUCUAAUAUAUAUUACUGAAUUAUCCAAUAUCAUAUUUUUAUUAAAAAAAUUAAAUUUUUUAUUAAAAAUUACUGGAAAUUUAAUAGUGUUAUUUUUGGAUAAAUAAAUUAUAUAUGAAUUUUAAAGUUGUAAAUAUGUAUUAUUUCUCAAUUUAAGGGUUUAGAGGAACUUAUAAAUAAUAGUAAAAGUGAUAUUAAAAAAAAUUCAAGUAGAUGGAAUUUUUCCAUAUAAAAAAAAGAGUUGAUGGGGUUGUAUUUCUUACCUUAAUGAAAAUUAAGGUAGAGUUGUUGGUAUGAAAAUCAUUCUUACAUAUUCUUAAUGAUAAUUAAUAAAGUAUUGUUAAUGAUGAUGCCAAAUAUGAUUUUAUUUGUAGGUUUUGUUUCCGGCAUUGAAGGAGUUGUAUUUGCAUUCAGUCAAUAAAAUUGAAAAAAUAUGGCAUGAUGAUCGACUUCUUACGGUGUCUCUUGAUGUUUUAAGUUUUAACACAUUUGGAAGUGUUCGAUUACCAUAAGCUGAAGUGUGUAUUUAUGUCAUCUAUAGUUAAAAGCUUUGUGCAUUUGAAAACACUUAUUGUUUUUUAUUGUGAUGAAAUGGAAGACAUAAUAAAAGGAAUACUAGGUGGAGAAGAAAGGAUUGGCAACAGUGUCGAAACCUCUUUUUAAAUUGGGGAAGGUAUUUUAAAAACGGGAGUCGCCACCAACUAUAAAUCAUGUUAUAGGAUAUAAUAACUUAAUAUAUAUUAAAAAAAAUAAUGUACUAAAUAGUAAUAUUACACAUAUUUAUUUAAUAAAAAAAACAUAUGUAGUUAAGGAGUAAUAGAAUAAUGUAUAUUUUAUAAUAAAAUAAAAGUAAUGUAAGGAAUAAUAUAUGGUAAAAUAUAAUAUAUAAUAAAAUUUAUAAAUAAAAUGUAUAAUAAUGAUAUAAAUAAUAUAAUGAUAAUAUAUAAAUAAAAAUAAUAUGUACUAUUUUAUAUAACUAGUAUUUAUAAAAAUAGAUAAUAUAUAAGGUAUUUAAAAUAAAUUAAAUAUAUAAAAAGGGUUAAAAUUGAAUUUAAUUAAAGAAUCUGGGGUUAAAUGCAAAAUAAUAAAAAAUUUGGGCCUAAUUGAAACACUCACUAAAAGCCGAGGGACUCAUUGUGUAAUUCGACCCCAAUCCUAAAAUGACAUCGUUCUUCAGAAUGGAUUUUAAAGACCGUUAGGAUUAAAUUGAAACAAAUAUAAAAGAUUAGGGCCAAAUUAAAAUAAAAAUAAAAUGAAAUUAUAAAGAUUAAAAAUGCGAAAGGACCUAUUGGGAAAUUAGCCCAUUUUCCAAAAACACGCGGAUCUUCCCCGGGUCUCAGGUCAAUGCGCGGAUCCUAGCCUUGGAACGACGCUGUUCUAAAGCUUUUUUUUUUAAGCAAAACGACGUCAUUUAUAUGAGGCUAUAAAAGCCUAGUUUCAGCCAAAAAAAAAACAUUUUUAAACAUAUUUAAAAAAAACAGAAGGAUUCUCUGAAAGGGGGCCGAGAGCAAACCCUCGGAGCUCUGUUGAGCUUCCAUCAUUGGGUUCCUACGCGCUCACGCGCCACCACUGACUUCGCCGAGUACGGUGGUCAGAAUACGAAUCGUUUCGCCUUUUUCACAGCAAAAAGGUAAUCUCUUUUAUUUAUUUUUUUUACAGUAUUUUGCAUGUAUGAAACGUUGAUAUCUAAGAAAAGAAAAAAGAUCACCUUUGUUUUCUGACAAAGUAAAGAAAUCGAUAAUAUUCUUCUGUGCUCUUUUUUAUUUCCCUUAUUUUUUUCCUUACAGAUUAAAAAGAAAGGCUUUUAUAGCCCUUUGUAAGUCAUUACAGUUUGGGAAUGAAAUCUCUGAUUUCUUUCCAUAUUUUGCUUCUCUUUUUCUUCUGUCGUUCUUUCCAUUUUUUGCAGGUGACGACGAGAAAAUCCGUCAGUGAAUUCGCUAACGUUGAUUCGCCCGUUGAUUGCAGAGUGAUACGAGGCCGGAGUCACGGGGUAAGACGAAGAGGCGUGUCUGUUGCGGCGCGAAGCUUCUAGAAACCCUAGGGUUUCUAGAUUUAGUUUAGGCACUGGGCCUCGCUAGUUUGGGUCUGGCUCGGGUAUUUGGGCUUGGGUGUAACCGGGCUAGUGGGUAGUUUAGGUUAAUUGGGUUCUAAGAAUUUGGGUAUUCUGGUUCAAACCAUUUGGGCUGCAAAUGUAACCGGGCUCUUUUGUUUGGGUUAUCAGGCUUUUAAGCCUGUUUAUUGUAAACAGACAUUUUAUUAUUUUUACUCUAAUUCACGGGCUCGGGUAAAUUUGUGUUAUUACAAACAGCAUAAGGGUGUUCCCUCAGCUUGACUCGUUGAAACUCAUCAAUCUUUCUAAUCUCAAAAGAUUUUGCCCUGGAGUUAACCUAAUAGAAUUUCCCUUUUCUAAGACAAUUAGAAAUAAUCAAAUGUCCUGUUUUGAGCACAUUCCAUUUUGAUACCACAAGUAUUGGAAACACUUCACUUGAUCCUAAUGUACCUCAGCCACAAUAUCUCUUCAGUGCAAAAGUAUGUUUAAUGUUAAUGUUUUCUUUUUCUUUCUUUUUUCUUUUUUUACUUUUGUGUAUAUAUAAAUAUCUCUUAUCUUAUAAAAUAAAUUUAGAAUAUACUUAUAGUUCCAAAUGCAUUCUAUACAAAAUAACAUAAUUUUUUUUUAUUUGAUUGAUCUCAAUUAGUAUCUUUUCUAAUCAUAACAUUUUAUUUUUGUUUUUAUGAUCAGUUGAAUAUUGAAAGUUAAAGAAUAUAUAUUAGAAAAUCUUUUCUCUUAGUUAAAUUUAUUUUAUUCAUCUAUCUAAUAUCCAUAGGAACCUAAUAAAUAUUGUUUUUCUUUUUGUUAGGAUAACAUGAAUACUUAAUUUAAUCAAAUUUAUAUAUAUGCAUGUUGAUAAUUGUUUAUUAAAAAAAUUUACUUGAAUUAAAGUUGAUAAAUACUGAAACAUGUGCAUAAAAGUUAGUACUCUGAUAUUUAAUUGAAUAAUAAUAUUAAUUAAGAAAAAAAAAUUUAAUAAUGAUGGAUAUCAAUGGUAAUAUAGAAAUAAGUUUAAUUAAUUAAUAUUUUAAUUUGAUAAAAAGGCGAUUAAUGAUUAAAAAUGAAAUAGUUAAUUUUUAAAAUUUAUCAUACGUUGAGUAUUUAUAUUUUAAUGUUUGGUCCUUUUACAUUUAGCUUUUUACAUCAUAAAUAUUGUAAUAUUUUAAAGGGGCAUUCUAACAUUUUAAGGUUAAAAAAUUAAAUGUUUUUGAAAACAUGAUGAGAUUUAUGAGAUAAGUGAAAAAGAAACUGUAAAACAUGACAUACAUAGUUGUAGUAAGAAAUUGCAAAAAUUUCCUAUCAACUUAACUUUACUUAUUGACACAUUCAAAUGAAUUGUGCAUGUAAAUUUAGGAGAUAUCUCUUGUGCUAAAGAAAUUGGGUAUUUGUUUUAAAAGGGUACAAGAGGUGUUUGAGAUUGGAAAAUAAGCAUUUCCCGAACAUGAUUGGUGGAAAAAUUGGUAAAGAAGUGUUUGAGUAGUAGUGGUGGCAUAGAAAACAUGGAAAGGCUAUGGCCUAACCUACUUGAUGAACAUUUGUAUUCUAAACUAACUUCAUUUUCCUUGGAAGAUUGUCCUAAGUUGUUGAAUAUUUUUCCGUUGAGUAUGUUGACAAGACUUCAAUAGCUUGAGAAAUUGAGCAUAUGGAAUUGUGACUCAUUAGAAGAAAUAAUAUGUGAAUCUCAAUCUCCAAAAGUUAACACUAAUGCUAUGUAAUCACUUUCUCCACAACUUAUUCAAUCAGAUGUUACAACUUAUUCUGCCAAAAUAUAGAGAGAAUUUAUUCUCAACUUUUAAAUAUAUUUUUCAUAAUAACAAUUUUACCGGUUUCUAUUAAAGAAAAAAGAAUUUUCGUUUUCAUCCCAAAAAGAAAACUUUUUCUAGUUUUGUGUUUUUGUUUAAUUGAUUUGAGCCCACACUCAAAAUAGUUCAUGGUACGAGAAUAAUAGAGAAGACCGUUUGGUUGAAAGUUGGAAAACAUCAAGGAUUCGCUUAUCCAAAAACACAGAUAUGAAUUCAGUUAAGGUUUAUUGCUAUAAAUAUAACAAACCGAGUUGGUUUUCAAAAUUUUUAUUUUUCGUUGUGCAAGAAAACCAUUUUCAAAUCAGAUUUUUUCCAAUAAACAGUACAUCAGACAGGACCCAACCAGAAUAUAUCCUGAAUCCAUUUACGGAUUUAUUCACUUGUGAUGUUUACAGUGUGACAUACUUAAAUCUUGAGUGGAUGACAAACUAUGUAUGCGCGACUCAUACACUUUGAUGUAAGUAAAAGCCUAAGUUCAAAUAGAUAAAGAAUCGAAAGCCAGUGUGUUGGGUGCAUGACUUCUGUAGUAUGUAGCAUCAUUUACAAUAGUGGAAUUCAUAGCCCAAAACAUGGGUAAAUCUCUUAUUCACAUUAAAUGGUUAACGAAAAGUAAACGUGACCACGAGUCGUUUGUCUUUAUGAUGGAUGACUUGAUCACUACUUGAUAGUGAUUGACUUUUCAUGAAGAAAGAUGUAACCGGUUAACAUGAGAUAAAAUAUGACCACAUUUGGAGAACGGAUAUUCUCCCAAAGAGAUCAAGGGUAUCCUAUGAGGGUAACACACUUAUGACAUGUAACAACCCGAUACCCAGCCUAAAAGUUUAGGCCGGAUCCCAGAGUUUACACUGACCACCAAAGUGAUCUAAAAGCAAUUUACAUAAAGAAUUAUUUAAAACUCACUUCAAACACAGUUUGCUAAAAACAUACUAAGUCAUUUAACAAUUUACGCUUUAAAGCAGUAAUUCUUGUAUAGUUUCAAAAUACAUCUAUUUUGCCAAAUGUAAUUCGAAAUUUUUGAAUUAGAAAUUGUGCGAAAAAUAUGUUGUUCAAAAUCAAAAUCACGUAGUUUAACGAAAAGUUCAAACCUUAACCCAUACCAUAGUUUAUAUAAUCUCUUUACAAAUAAUCUUAAAACCAACCGUAUAAACUUAUGAAAGUUUUAACUAAACCGAAUCAAACCAAACUUUCUAAGACCUCUGGCUACCAAGUCCAGCUUCUAACACAAAAUUUACUUGAAAGAGAGGAAAAUAAGGGAUGAGCUACACGAGCUCAGAGUGAGUCCGAAAUUAAAAACAAAAGCAAUAGACAGAGUAUUCAGACGAAUAUUGAUAUCUGCACACAAACAGUGAACGAACAAUAAAAAGUAUCAGUACUCAAUCUUACAAGUAAUUUCCAGUAAUCAUACACACAUAUCAUAAUGGUAUAUUUCACACGUCAGACUAUUCACGUUAAUUCGAAACUAUCCCAACCAUCAGACAGAUAAACACAUACCGAAUAUAAGAUAUAUGUAACAGGUUAAAAACUCACUUGAUCAACCAAACACCUUUUCAUCCACCCUGUACACCACAUAAAGGCUACAGAAGGCCUGUCCACCUUGCACACCACAUAGAACCAUUAAAGGUUCAUCCACCCUACACACCACAUAUAGUGGAACUAAGCCACUCGAGUGAAAGUAUACAACUGAGUUGGUAAACGGUCAGUAUAGUACAGUAUACCGCUAUACAAAAGCAUUAUAGUUAAAACUGCCCAAAUCAGUCUUCCUUCUCUUCGCAACCAAAACCCCAAUUUUAUGCAAAUGUAUGAAUGCACACCAAACAGUAACAGUCUCAUAGAUAUAGAAGCUCAUAUUCAGUCUGUCAAUUUCAGAAUCGGUUUUACUUGUUUAACGGUUAAUAUGUAACGACGGCAUAAAUACCUCAACUCAUUUAUCACAUCAUCUAAACACAUGAAUAACUAAUUAGUUUAAAUCAUGUAAUUGCAAACACACACUCGAAUCUAAGCGGAAAACAGAGUCCUAACACAUUUACAGAGGCCCCAACAAACAUUGGACUACAUAGGAACUAAGACAGGUCAAAAUACAACACAGAACAAAAAUCUACGAAACAGGUCUACACGGCCGUGUAAAGGUUUACACGCUCGUGUGACUGAGUUACAUGGCCGUGUGAAUAGCCCGUGUAACUCAGUAUCCAUAAUUUCCAAAAUAAGGUGUAGAGCAGACACGGCUAUGUGUCCCAGGCUCACGCCUAUGUAAAAAUCAACAAAAAUCCUUAAAUCAUAGCCACACAGUUGUGAGGCACCAAAAUCAUCCAAAAACCCUAAUUCCCAAAGUCACACAGCUGUGUGAACACCUCAUGUACGACACAUGCCCGUGUGGUCACGAAACCACACCAAAACAGGCUGAAAACCGUAUUUUUGGGAACGAAACAGACCUCAACCUUUGUCAAAUCAUGGAUAUACCAAAACAUAUAGUAUUUCAUAUAGUUCAUUAGCAACACAAUACUUCGAUUAAUCAAUUCCAGAAACACACCUGAUUUCGUGAUCUAAACCACCCAAAACGAUCGAAAUGUCACCACCCACCAAAUUGAUACCUCAAUUCCAUAAACAUGCUAAUCUAUAAGAAAUUGACUAAAUAAUUCGAAAGCAAUAACAAAAUAAAUUAGUCAACGAACCCAAAGGAUGUCAUUUACCCAAUACAACACUCAAAGGAUCAAGAAACGACUUGAGAAGAAGUAACUAGCGGCAACAAUUUUGAAACCCCAAAGAAAGAAAAAAACAAAUCAAAGAAUAUAAAAGAAAGAAAACUUAAAAUAAAGCAAAAGAGAAUGUUGAGACAAAGGAAUGUGGGAGAGGGAGAACAUGAGAAAGUUUUUGGCCUAUUUCGAAAAACAAAAUAAUAUUAAAAAAAUUAAAUAAGUAUUUUAAAACUUAAAAACAAAUCUAAAUUAAAAAAAUAAUUCUUCAAAACACACAUGAGGAUUCAAACCUAGAAUCCAGAGGCAAACUAACACAUCCAACCAUCAAACCAGCAGGCUCAUUCUGAUAUUAAAACGCGACAACAAACCCAUUUGCUCAACCUACUUACUAACCCUUACUUCAUACCUCAAAACUUCUAACCCUAAAUUCCUGGAUGUUACAUGACAAGAUCAUUGGUUGAGCACUGAGUAGUUAGUUACUUUCAAAAUGGUAUGUUGUUAGGGAGAGCUCAGUCACGAUACUAUAGUGGAAUGACUUCAUGACUAAAUAAGUUUAUAAUUCAUGGUAAGAGAAUAACAAAGAAGAUUGUUUGGUUGAAAGCCAAAAACAAUGAAUAUCUGCUAAGCCGAAAACACUAAUAUGAAUUUAGUUAGAGUUUAUUACUAUAAAUAUCACAAACUGAGUCGAUUUUCAAAAUUUUAAUUUUUCGCUGUGCAAAAAACCAUUUUGAAACCUAUUUGAGUACUAAAUAUUUAGUUUGAGUACAAAAAAUAUUGACUACCAAAAUAUUAGGCAAGAGUAAAACAUAAUUAUGUUGACUACCAAAAAUAUUAAGUUUGAGUAAAAAUAAUAAUAUCUCAAAUUGAGCUCACCAAUCCAAAGCAUAUUUCAAUUUGUUUGGGCUUUGAAGAUAUUCAUGAAGAAAUCGUCUUCUAAAAUUUCAUUUCAAAUUAUUUGUGAUAAAAAGAAAUUCAAUGAAAUAAAUAGCAAGAGAAUUAAAGUACCAUCAUAAAUUUACCGAGUAAAAUGUGAAAUGAAGAAAACGUUACUAAAAAAAUCAAAUGCAGGGAUGUGUAGGGGUGUGCAUAAUUUGGGUAAAAUCGAACAAAUUCGAUUAACCGACCGAAUUCAGUUAAUUGGUCUGUUAAUCGAAUUAAUUCGAUCGGGGGUCGAUUAAUAAAAUUUUUGAGUUUUUGGUUAACGGCUAAAUUGGUUCGAAAUUGGUCGGUUAACCAAAUAUUUUUGGUUGAACUGAAAAAUUAAUAAAUAAAAUUAUAAUAUAUAAAUAGGCCCACCGGAAGUAAAAGUAAAAGUAAAACAGCAAGUAAAAAAAAAGGUGGGAAGUUGCAAUGAAAGUAAGUUGGAAAUGUGAAUAAGAUAAUUUCAUUUUUAUUCCCUAAUUUUUAAGCCAUCUGCAAGUUGGUCCUUAAACCUUAACUAUAAAUAGGCUUAACCAUUUCACUUCCAAACCAUCCCGAAUCAUUUUCUCUCAAGCCAUUCUACUACUAGAGAGUUUUAGAGAGUUUUUUAAAUAGUUGUUUCUUAUUUUUAUUAAGAGAGAGUUUUUCAUUGUUUUCUCCUUGUUAAAUUGAGAGAAAUUGUAAUUUUCUAAUUUUCUCAUAGUGGAAUUCUUCUAUCUUUGUCCAUGGUUUUUUAAAACUAAGAGAUUUAUGAUGAAAUCCAAGCAUCAUACCCUUAGAAUAACUAGAUUCCUUACUUCAAUGAUAGAUGCUGUGACAAUAGUGUUUCCACCACCAUCUAUUUGUAAUUCAGUUAAUUCGAUUAAUUCGGUUAAUUUCAUACUUAUUUUAACCAAAAAUAAAAACAUAUAAUUUUCGGUUAAUUCGGUUAACCGAAGAGUCCCCAGAAUCAGCAACACUGACAUAAGCCAAGUAUGCCUCACACCCCUUCCUUUCUAACUUCUCCAUCACUAAUGCAGAUACCACAUUAGUCAAAUAAUCUCGUCGUUCCCCAAUCACGACCACCUCAAUAUCCUCCUCGGUUCUUAGAACAAUCCUCUUUGCAGCGCAAUCCAGACUCACUCGGUGUUUGACUAACCAGUCCAUACCCAAAAUCAGGUCCAACUUCCCAAAUGGAAGCUCCAUCAGAUCAGCCAGAAAUACAGUCCCUUGGACCUCUAAUAGUACGUCUCUAAAUAGUUUAUUAACUCCAACAGACUGCCCCAACGGACUCGCUACUGUUACAUCACUAGAAGUGCUCUCACACGAUAACCUCAAGGUCUCAGACAUCGUACUAGUUACAUAAGAAUGUUUAGAGCCUAUUUCUAUCAAUGCUAAGUAAGGUACAUUAAAAAUUAGGAACGUACCCGUGAUGACGUCUAGAGCAUCUCGGUCCUUACGACAACAUGCAGUAUAAACCAACGCGGGCUGCCUCACCUCAGUCGAUCCAGCACCUCUACCCGGUGCUUUCCGCCCUUAGCCCAUGCCGUUACUACCUUUAGCCUGACCUCAGCCCCUAUGUGGCUGUUGAACUACCUCGGCGGCUGUGUAGUCUCAUUAGUCGGAGCUUGCAUCUGAUUAGUUCUUAAUGGACAGUUCUUAACACUAUGCUCAGUAGACUCACAUCUAAGACAGGCUCCAGUAGACCUCCAACACUCGCCCGGAUGGUGUCUAUUAUAGAGCUGACAAAUCGCCACCCCAGCAGGUGCAACAAUAGGCCCAACUCUCAUGGGUCCAUCAGAUCUGGCCUUUUUUCCUAGGCCUCAUCCCAGAAUUCAAAGGCUCUGCAUCCCUCUUAGCCUUCCCUCUGUCACGGUUCUGGCACUCAGCGUUCUUAACCUCCUCAUCAAUCUUGGCAUUCUCGACCAACACAGCAAACUCACGCUCCCUUUGCAGAGUUAUCAGGAUCCUCAAGUUAUCCUUAAGGUUGUCCUCAAAACAGACAUAGCGCUCAUACUCUGUCGCCACCAUGCCUUGCGCAUAAUGGCUCAGCCUUAGAAAUUUAGCCUCAUACUCGGCCACUGAAUGAUCUUUCUGAGUAAGAUUCAGGAACUCACUGUAGUAGCCCAUUUCUGCCCGGGCCUUAAAACCAAAAAAAAAAUAAAUGUUUAUUUAUUACAGUCCUUUUACAGAACCCAAAAUACAAACCCACUAACCACUGCCCAAAAAUUAAAACCCAAAAUCAAACCCAAAAAUUCUACCCGUGAACUAUAACCCAAAUACCUGUUGCACCCAGACCCAAAACAUACAAGGCCCAAGAGGCCCAAAUUGUUAAAUGAAUACAGAAAGGCCUAGGGUUUCAGAAACCCUAGACGCUGCAAACGGAAGGUUCCAAAAGCUAAACGCCGCAAUCAAUGCGUCGGUUCGUCUCGCGUCGCUCCAGCUACCCACCAUCAGUACCGUGAUUCCAGGCCAUGAUUCCAGGCUUUGAAUCAUGCCGUGGUCUACGCCCGAGUCAACGCCGGUGUUCAUUGUCGCUAAAUCUCCUCGAUCACCUGCAAAAAAUGGAAAGAAGCGAUAGAGACGAAACAAAUAUGACAGGAAAUAACUUUAAAACGUGUAAAAUACUAUGUACAGUGGCUAUAAAAGCCUGAAUCAAAACAAUGUAAAGGAUGAUUUUUCGAUAAAAAAUACACAUAUACAAUAAAAGAUCAGCGUUUUAUCAAAGAGACAGAGGUGAUAUAUCUUUACUUUUAUGUUUUUUUCUCUAAAAUAACAUGCAAGUAUUAUUAAAAUAAGUCAGGAUAGAGUUUUACCGUUGAAAUCAUGUCGUGGCAUCGAGACUUUUCGAAUUCUGGCCGCCGUACAUAGUGGCGUUGACAGUGGCGCGUGGGCGCGUAGGCGCUGAGAACGGAGGCUCGACAGAGCCCGAAGCCGGCCCCAGAUCCUCUUUCAGAGGAUUUAUUUCCUUUUUUUUCAAAAUCGGGCAAAAAUGAUUUUAAAACUGAAACCGGGGCUUAUAUAACCUUAAAAAAACGGUGUCGUUUUGCUUAAUUCAAUAAGCACUAAAACGGCACCGUAUUAGGUAGAGGAUUCGCGUGUUGACUCGAUUACUCGGGGAGGAUCCGCGUGUUUUUGUAAAUUGGGAUAAUUUCCCAAUUGGUCCUUCCUUUUUUUUAUAUUUUUAAUUUCAUUUUAUUUUAUUUUUAAUUUAACCCUAAUAUUUUAAUUUUGAUUCAAUUUGGUCCUCACAGUGGCUUUAAAACCGAGUUCAUGGAAACAGUGUCGUUUUGAGAUUAGGGCUAAAUUGCCCAGUGAGUCCCUUUGGUUUAGCGAGUCUUUUAAUUUGGCCGAAAAUUUUAAAUUUAUUUAUAAUUAACCCUAAGAUUUUAAAAUUAAAUUAAAUUUAAGUUUUGUUAUAUAAAUUCAAUAUAUUUUAAAUAUUAUAUAUUCUUUAUAUUAUUUUAUUUAUAUUAUUUAUAAAUUUUAGUAUAUGUUAUUUUUAUUAUAUGUUAUUUGUUCCAUUUAUAUUUUAUUAUAUAUUUUUAUAUUAUAUAUAUUAAUUAUUUUAUUAUAUUUUUUAUGUAAAUUUACUUAAUAUAUAAUUCUUAUUAUUUUAUAUUUCAUUUAUUAUAUAUUUUAUAUCAUUAUAUAUGUAUUUUGGUUUACAAAUUUAUUAUAUUUUAUAAAUUUUAUCAUAUUUUCUAACAUUACCUUUAUUUUAUUAUAAAUUAGGUAUUAUUUUAUUAUUCAUUAAAUGUCUAAAAUUUUAAAUAUUUUAAAAAUUAUUAUUAAAUAAUAGUAUGUAUACAUUAUCCUUAUAAUAUUUAUUGUAUUACUCAUGUUUCAUUAUAUUUUAUUUAUAUAUAUUUUAUUACAUAUCAUAUUGUAAUCGCCCAUUUUUGCCCAGCCCAUUUCAGUAUUUAAAAUAAUAAACCCCCAAAAAAUAAAAAUAAAAUAAAGUCCAAGUCCAGUACAAAAUUACAAACAUAUAAUUUGGCCCAAUCGAAAUGGCCCAUUACUUGAAAAGAUUUAAGGUCCAUCUAUAAGCUUGACUCAUAUGGAAAUAUAAUCUUGAAGGAUAUACAAUCUUAGAUAUGAUAUGCAAUCUUGAAGAUAUGAUCUUGUAAUCUUGGAGAUUUAAUUUGUAGAUAUCCUUUAAUCUUAACCGUUGAUGUAAUUGAUCUGUACCGUUGGAUUUGGGGAGGCUCAACUAUAAAUAGGGGCCUCUCCCUUCAUUGUAAAUCACUGGAGUUUUGGGAAGCAAUAAGAAUUCUUGAGAGCAUUCACUCAAAUUUCUCUCCCCCUUACGUUCUUAGUCUCUGUGGUUUGUUCUUAUUUUAUUCUUCGUCUAUCUUAGUUUUUCAACCUUUUUUUUAUUUUAAUUUCUUCAUUUUUCAAAUAUGAAUAUUUAUUCCUAUCCUUUAUACAUUUGAUUAUGUAUUUUAUAUAUUAUAAUAUUUAACUUUUUUAUAUAGUUUAUUUUCAAAUAUAUAUUUUCUAUUAUGAUAUCCUCAAAUUUGAGCAUUCACUCAAAUUUCUCUCCCUCUUAUGUUCUUAUUUCCUACGGUUUGUUUUUAUCUUAUUCUUUGUUCAUCUUCGUUUUUCACCCCUUUUUAUUUUGAUUUAAUCCAUGUUUCCCUGAUUUUUUUAUAUAUUUUAAUUUUUUAAUAAUUUUAGUAUCAUAUCAAACUAUUUCAUUUUUAAUAGUUUUUUUAGUAUUACUCUUAGUAAAUUAUUUUUUAAAAUUUUACUCAAAUCAUUAUUUUAAAAAAUAUAUUUCAUUUAAUUGUCAUAUUUUAUCCAAAAGUUUUUCUAAAAUGAGGCAAUGUUUUUCGUAUUUAGGAAUUCGGGAAAUAGUGCCCUAACAUGCUGGGUUGCGAUUUCCCGUUCGUCUAAAUGCCUAAAGCAUCCUUCUAAAUAGAUUUUGUAAAUCACGAGAUGAUUUCGGUUACGACAGUUUAAGAAUAUCGUGUCCUAUCCUGUUGGAUGUGAUGUUUGUAUUCUUUCGGAGCUAAGGAAUUUCGAUUUUUCAACUUAAAUAAUUCCGGUUUUAAAAAAGGGAUCUUAUUUUUAAAUCCUUUCAAAUUUUAGACAUUAAGACAGAAAUCUAUUUAAUUUGGUACCAAUUUUGGGCGUUGCGAGGGUGCUAAUCCUUCCUCGUACGUAACUGGCUCCCGAACCUGUUUUCUUAAAUUUCGUAGACCAAAACGUUUUAUAAGGUGAUCCAAUCACACCUAAAAAAAGUUGGUGGCGAUUCCCGUUUUCAUUUUUCUUAAAGUCAAUUCCCAUUUUACAAAACUCGAUUUAAAAAUGGUUUCGACAGCUUGAUGACUCCACUGGGGAACAAUAAGAGAGUCAAGCCGUAAAAUUGAUUGAUUUCUGUCCUUUAUCGAAAUUUGAAAACUCGAUUUGAAAACUAUGAUCUUUUUUUUAUGUUUGCUGCAUAUGUUUGUUAUUUUUCUCGCACACAUUGCAUUUGCAUGACCGUUGUGGUCGCACCCUUAAGUGGGAGUGAGAAGCUAAGCUUUCGUGAGGUUUUCACCUCCGCAUGAGUUAGUGGAUUACUUCCGGGAUAUAUCUGUACCUAUGUCUUCGUGAGAUUUUCAUCUCCGCAUGGUCAUAGGGAAAUGUAUCCUCCUAAACCGAACUUGGUCCAUAUGAGCCUAUAAUGGGUGAGGAUCGAGGAAUCUGCUGGUUUAGGUACCCUUGCUUUAGAAUCAAACUCAGAUAGUGAACUUUAAAGAGCUUACCCUAGCGAAGAUAGUGAUAGCCUUUAGUAAGCUACCCUUGUAAGUUCUUGAUUAUCAUUUUCUUUAUAUAUGAUACUGACUUUUUUUUAUUUUGCUGUCAUUGCAUGUCAUUUGGCAUUUAAAGGUGUCGAUUCACGGCUCGAUUUCUAGAUUAAAAAGUUUUGUAAUGAGGAACGAAUACCUUAAUAAAGUGGAAGUCAAUGCUUCUGUUUGUACCUGGUCAGAGAAAACCCAAUUAGAGAAAGGAGAUAGUGUCACCGUGGGGUAUACGUCAGAGUUUUGGGACUUCACUCGUAUCAGUUCAACAUAGAAUAUUUUCAGGAGAUGAAGGACAUUUAGGCCCAAUGGGAUGAUGAGGCUAGACAACUUUUCUUUCAGACUUAUGGAGUUCUUUUUUAUUUGCUAGACAUUAAGGUAGAUAAGCAUCUGUUUCGAGCUAUGGCACAGUUCUAGAACCCUGCUUAUAGUUGCUUUACAUUUGGAGAGGUAGAUGUAGUGCCUACUUUGGAGGAGUAUACAACCUUGCUUCGUUGUCCGAGAAUUCAAGGUAACAAAGCUUAUGUUAGGCCUGCUAGUCUCCCAAUUUUCGUGAGGAAAUUAGUGAUAAUCACAGGGAUGAGUGAGCAAUGGGUUGUAGCUCGAGUGCAGCAAAAGGGCGAUAGUAAGUGCAUUCCGUGGGCCAUUUUGAGGGAUCUGAUAUUGACAAACCCAGAUGUGAAGAAGAAGGUCAACGUUUUGGCCUUAAAUAUUUACGGCUUCGUGAUUUUCCCGAAGGCGAUAAGGCACAUAGAUGAGGCAGUCGUAGAUUUGUUUGAUCGUAUUGGUAAACAGAACUCAUCGGUGCUAGCAAUCCUAGCUGAGACGUUUAGAUCCUUGAAGUACAUGUCGGAGAGCCGGUGAAGUAGAUUCAUUGGAUGCGCACAGUUGUUGUUAGUAUGGUUCCAUAGUCACUUUUGGAAGCUUGAGAAGGUUCCUUGCCGAGUGUUCUUUAAGGGUUAUUCCCCCUUAAAGGAAGCAGCAACUACACCGAGGAGAGAUGAUAUUACAGAAGAAAGGUGGAUGGAUAUUCUUCAAAAUCUUUGAGAGGAGGAAGUUUUGUGGAAAGCACAUUGGAUGACUUCUAAUGAAGUCCUUUAUCGCUGCGACAGUUUUGAUUGGGUACCUCUUUCUGGGAUUUGGGGAGUCGUUGGCUAUGCACCGUUACUCGUCCUAAAGUGAUAUAAAGUGGGGCGGUUCAGAUAAAUGUCAAGAGUUAGCUUUGUUAUUAGAUAGGGUUAAGACUCUGGGCUUACGAGCGAAAGCGUAUUUGUAAUCCGUUUUAUGAAAGGACUUUUGUUCCUUAAAUAACAUUUUCUAAAAUGAAAUUGAAUCGAGAUCGAUACCUUUUUUCAUUCAUACAUUUGCAUUACAUUACAUCGAAGAAAAGAAGGUGUUGAUUCGAAAUUCGAUUCCUAAAUAAAAUAGUUUCUCAUAAGGAAACGAAUUUCUUGAUAAAGUGGAUUAUAGUGCGGUCGUCUGAAUAUAGUCCAAAUAAACACAACGAGAGAAACCUGAUAGUCCAUGGAGGAAUACAUGAUGUAAUUGCCAGAGACUCAAGCCAACAAAGGUUAUCCAAGAGCAUGACGAGAGAAAGCCAGAAGCCCACGAAGGAAUACAUGACUUGAUUUAAUUGCCAACGAAGAUUAUCUAAGAGCCGGCACUUUUUGAUGAGUAUCAUGGAGAUAAGCGAGCAAGAGAUCGAAGCUCAGAUUAAGUAGCAAGGAGCUAGAAAAGGCAUCUUUUAGAGAAUUUACAGGAUUCGACCAUGAAGAAGAGAUCAGCAUUUACUUGGACUAUGAAGGGCAAGACUACAUAUGUAAUCUAUUUUCAUGUAAAGAAAUCUGUUUUCUAGAAAAGUUAUUCUAAUGGAAUUGAAUUCAAGAUCAACAUCUCCUUUUCUUUUGCAUUCAUGCAUUUGCAUUGCAUCACAUCACAUGCAUUUAAAUCCAUAAAAAGACCCUAAUUAAGGUUAAAAAGAGAAAGAAAGAGAGAAGAGGGUCACGGCUGAGCGAAAAGAAGAUGCUCCCUUACAUAUCCUAGACUUUUGUAUCAGGAGGGAUAGCUUACCCGAAGAAGGGGGUGUUUGGAAAUGAAAAUCAUCCCAUCAAUGUCAUACAUGAGGAAGGGACUGAACAAAGAAACCUUGAGGGCGUUCGCCCUUACGAACCGGGAAGUUCUUUAAACAAUUAGACUGUAGAAGAACUUCCUGUAAUCUUUAGGAAUUUUACGGAGUAAUAUUCAGAACACUCUUGUUGCUCUAAAGCCUAGGAGUAAUGAAAUUUCUUUUGAGAAGUGGGCUCAUGUUCAGACAUUUUUAUUUUCAAUAAAACAUACUUUUAUUAUUUAUCCGAGUAAAUAUUCUUUCAUUCUGAUUCUUUUGACCUUUGACAUUCUUUAUAAAUUUUCAUUUCAUGUAAAUAGUCAUUCUUGAAUUCAUUUAUUCCUUGUAUAUUCUUUUGUGUGCCUAUCAUAGAUCCCUAGAUAUCAAUGACACGAGCAAUGAUACUACAGAUUCAGAGUUCCUUUUGAGUUCGAUAUGUGUUUAGAGGAAUCUCAGUACUUUGAAGGUGACAGAAAUUGUGACUUGUUUCUGAAUUUGUUGAAAAUGGUUUUUACCCCAUGAAGUGGUGGUAAGAAAUAUAGCCUUAGAGGAAGGAAAGAUUGUGAAAUUGGAAUUAGCUGAGGAUACAAAACAAGACCUUGUUGAGACUAUUAUGGGAAUUCAAAAAUGUGGUCCAAAGAUGCAUGCAGGAGGAUUUGUAAUUGCCAGGAUAAACAUGAGGUUUUGGGGCACUGUUGGUCUACCAUGGAAAGGGAUCGCAUCAGUUGUACAAUGAAUGCCAAAUUUAAAGGAGUCAAGACUUAUGGGGCAUGUAUGUUAUGGGCCCGAGCUCAUCAAAAGUUUCAAGCUGACAAUGACUCAUCUUUGUGGACGUCAAUUACUCCAUUAAGAAGGGGAGAUAGCUUCAUAUACCAAUAUUACAAAGUCAAAAGUCAUCCAUUUCAAAAAAAAGAAAGAUUAUAUAUAACUGCACAAUGCCAAAAGUUUGCAGUCUUUUCAAAGAUAAUGCGCCAUACCACAGUACAACAAAGGUUGCCAAAAGAAAAGAAAAAGAAGAAAAAACAAAUUAUAGAAGAUGACCGAAACUGGUAAAAAUUGGCAUAAAAACUACCGCCUACUCUCUAUGCUUACGCUGGGGAAAACACCUUCAAUUCCAGUUGUUUCAAAGGUUCCAACUAUCAUCCUUGGAAUGGGUGCAUUGUUUGGCUUUCCUGAGCAGUCUGAUAUGUCGUCAAUAGCUGCGAUGGUUAGCUCCAGGUGGUGGCCAUUGAUUUCCAGCUAUGGGGCAUCAGGCCGUACACAGUCUCUGAAGCUUAAAAUGAUAGAUUCUUUCUUCAAAACCAGUUUUUGACAAAGUGGAUGACGGUAUCAUGAAGGAAGCUCUCUUAGACUUCUAUACAAGUUCAGGGAAGAGAAAACCUGAUCAAAUCAUUAUUUUCAGGGAUGGGGUUAUCGAGUCUCAAUUCAAUCAAGUUUUGAUCAAGUUAUUGAGGCUUGCAAGUUCCUUGACGAGAAGUGGAACCCUAAAGAUUAUGGUUAUUAUUGUACGAAAAACCAUCAUACCAAGUUUUUUUCAGUAGGGAUCUCCUGACAAUGUGCUACAUGGUACUGUCAUUGACAACAAAGUAUGCCAUCCAAAGAACAAUGAUUUUUACCUUGGUACCCAUGCUAGAAUGAUUGGAAUCACGAGGCAGACCCACUAUCAUGUUCUCUUAGACUAGGCUGGGUUUUCGGCUGAUGAUCUAUAAGAGUUUGUUCAUUCUCUAUCCUACAUGUAUCAAAGGAACACCACAGCCAUAUUUUUUGUGGCUUCUAUUUGCUACGCUCAUUUGGCAGCUUCACAGUUGGGGGCAAUUUAUGAAGAUUAGGGGUGCUUUAGAAACAUCAUCGAGUCAUGGUGGGAUGUAUGCUUCGGGAGUAAUCUCUGUACGUCAGCUUUCCAGGUUGAAGGAUAAAGUCAGCAACUUCAUUCUUGUCUACUGAGAAUCAUUGAACCAUCUUUUUGUAGGGUUUGACAAACAACAGGCAGGACUGCUGCUGAGGCAAUCCCUUUCUCAUGGGUUUUUGAAUCAAGAUUUUUCCUCCAAGAUUUGAUGGAGUCAAGAAUUGAAUACCUCUAGUAAAAUUAACUUGAAAGUAUUCAUCCUAAGCAAAUGUACCAAGAAUGGAUGACACAGACUUAUGACAAAGAAAGUUCGUCCAAAAGAAUUUCAUAAAGGAAACCUUGUGCUGAAAAAGAUCCUUCCCAUGCAAAAGGAUGCCGAAUUGGGAAGGGUCAUAUGUUGCAAAGAGAGAUUUCUCUAGAGGUGCACUGAUUUUGAUAAGAAAUGGAUAGGAAGAAUUUAUCUGAUCCAGUGAAUUCAGACUCCGUCAAGGAGUACUUUGUCUGAAGGAGAAGGGAUGUAAUAGCCCAAAAUUGGGUCUAGUUGGAACAGAGGUUUCGGGACCACAAAAUCUGAGAUAAAAAUAAUUAUUUUAUGAUUAUUUUGAGGUCUAUGAUAUGAUUGCAUGAUUGUGUGAAAAUUUUGUGAAGAAAUUCUAUGCAUAAAGUGCUCAAUUUGAAGUUAGGGACUAAAUCGAAUAAGUUGCAAAACUUGCAUUCUAGAAGUUUCUAGUAUGAAAUUGCUUUGAAAUAUUAAUUAGGAGGUCUUAAAUAGCAAUUUGACCAAUUUCUAAGUGAUGGAAAAAAAUUGGACAUGGAUGGAAUUUUUGAAAGUUUAGUAAGGAAGGACGUUUUGGUCAUUUGGUAAUUAAAAGAAAUAAAAAGGGAAAAUAAAGCCAAAAUUUACUCAUCCUUUUCAUGGAGGCCGAAAUUAGCAUGGGGGAAACCAUGGCUAGGGUUUUCAAGCUUUCCAAGCUAAAUAGUAAGUCCGUUCUAACCCCGUUUUUCAAGUUCUUUACGUUUUUGGAAUCCCGGUAAUUUGAUUAAGCUUAUUCUAGCAAUAAUUUAAGCUAGGGUUCAUAUUUGGAAAAAUACCCAUUGGUGAAAUGUGUUUAUUUUGCUGUUUUAUGAUAGAAUAUGAGGUUUUAAAUUAUGUUAGACAACUUGUGCUACUCGGUUUUGAGUGAAAACGAGUAAAAGGGCUUAAUUGGUAAAAAUACCUAAUAGUCAUAAGUAUAUGUUAGAGUGAGAAUUUGAUGUUUCCAUAGAAGGGAAAAGUGAUCAGCAUGUCAUAAAACAUAAGAAUAAGGGAUGAAGUUUAAUUCCCGAGCCUAGGGGCAAAAGUGUAAAUAUGCAAAAGUUUAGGGGCAAAAUUGUAAUUUUUCCAAAGUUUGAGUUAAGGACUGUUUUGAAUAGUACAUUAAUUAAAUAAGUAAAAUAUGAUGUUUUAGAUCCUAAAAAAUGAGAUUUGAACCUAGAAUGAGAGAAAAAUCAAAAAUUGGGAAAGUUGGUAAAAUGAUCGUUUUAGUAUCGAGGUAAGCUCAUAUGUAUAAUAAGCAUUAAUUUAUUCAUGUUUCAAUGUAAAAUUGAUAUAUUUAUUAUAAUUUUCGAGGUGUUGAAAGUAUGUAAGUUGGUAUGAUAAUAAUACAACAAUAAUACUGUAAUUUAUAUUUGAAAGUUAAAUUUAGUGAAUUAAUUGAAUUAUGUUAAAUUAAAUGAUUAUGGUGCCAAGUUUAUGAAUUGAUUUAAAAAUAUGUCUAUGGUACAUCAAGUGCAUUGAAUUAUCAUACAUAAAUGUGAUUUCUAUGGUUAUAGAUAUUAUGGGAAAUUAUAAGUUCAUAUGAUUUUUAAUAAGGCAAUGUGUAAUUUAAUGUUAUUGCCUUGAUAUUAAAUGAGAUGUAAGUUUAUAUGUAAGUAAUACAUCAAUAUUACUUGUAUUAUGAUAUUUUAUAAUAAUAUUGGAAAUAUGUUUGUGGAUAAUUACUUGUUUGGUGACAUUGUUGGAAAAGAGAGAGAAAUCCCGGUUGAACCUUCGGAAAGAUUGGAUGAUACAGAUAGUAUGUAGCUAGGUCACAUGUAUGGUGCUGAGUGCACAUCAUGUGUACAAGAGAGCUACAAGACAUUAUGAUAUAGCUAGGUCACAUGGGUGAUACUAUGUGUACACCAUGUAGACAAGAGAGCUACGGGAUAUAUGUAGCUAGGUCGCAUGCGUGGCUCCAGGUGAAGGACACCAUGUAGACAAAAGAGCUACGAGAUAAAUUGGCUAGGUCACAUGGGUGGUACUGAGUGUUCACCAUGUGUAAAAGAGAGCCGAACUCUAUGAUGGGUGGAGCUAUGUGCUGAAACCACCAAGUAUCGAGGAUUGAUCCGAAGUGUUCAACGGGAGACUUUCUAUGUAUUGCUUUGUGAGUUUUAUGAUGAAUAAGUGCAUGAACUUGGUUAUGUAAAUGAUGUGUUCAUUAAGUGACCAGGAUGUGGUAAGGUUAUAAACAAGUAAGUUAUAUAUGAGGAUGAUUUUAUGGUGACCUCGUGAUCAUGGGCCUAUACUUGUGAUGUAUGAAAUGUGGUGAAAAUGAUUUGUGAUAUGUAUGUUAAAAUGAGGUUAAUACAAAGAAAGUGUGAAAGGGUGAAUUAGCAAUAAAACUGUUUUGGACAGUAGCAGUGAUAUGAUUUUGAAAAAUCACAAAAAAUAGUAGAAAUUGAAUCAGAGACUGAAUGAGAUAUUAAAUUAAAGGUUAAUGAGUCUAUUUUCAUAUAAAAGAAACAAAGCAAGAAAAGGAGUUCUGUACUUUCAUAUAUUUAUGUUUUUGUGAGACUGGUUCAGAAUGAUUACGUGAUCCGCUGUUCUGACUUUGGAAAAUCACAAAAAUUUGGAUAAAAAUAAUUAGAGGCUUAAAUUUAUAUUUUUAAAAUACCUAAUGAGUCUAUUUUCAAUAUAAAUGAACAAGAACAUUAUUUGAUUUCUGUAUUGUGAGAUAAUUAAUUUUUAGUGAAGAGAGGUCAGAACUGUCAGAAUGUGAAACAGGGGAAAUUUUAAUGAAUAAACUGUACUAAUUGGCUAAACAAAAAAUUAUGAAAAUUUUAUGGUGCAAAGAUAUGUGAGUCUAGUUUCAGGAAAAAAUUAUGGAUCUUAAUUUGGAACUCUGUAGCUCGAAUUAUAAAUAAGUAAGUGACUAUGACUUGUGUGGACAGUUUGAUGUGAGCAUUUAUUAGUAAAUUGUGAAAUCGUACUUACAAGAACGCUAUAUACAUUAAGGAUGUGGAAUGGAGAGGAGGAGGAGGAAAAUAAAUAUAUGUGGAAUACAUGGAAACUAUGGUAUAUGAAAUAUUGAUAUAAUGAAAUAAAUGAUAUGUGUUUAUAAGAAAACAGAAAGAGAAUGAUAUGUAUCAUGACAUGUAUAUAUAUAUAUGACUAGUCUCAAUGUAAUGCUUGUAAGGUAUGGAGUUGAAUUAAAAUGUUUUAGGCAAACAUGUUAUUUGCACAUCUGAAUUGUGGUAUUUUAUAAAGAUAUGAUCUAGUUUUAAAUAUGAAUGCUUGAUGAUUAAGCUGAAGAUAUUUGGUAAGAUGAUUAUCUUGGUAUAAAUGUAUAAGUGGUACUAUAAUAAACAAGGUAAAAUGAGUAUGAGAGACACAUGUAUGAUGAUAUACAAAUGCUAUGUUUGUGGUUUAAUUGAGAAUAUUUAGUCAUUAAAUGAAUACCAUGUUAUAUGCUUUUGAUUUUGUAUAAGUGUGUAAGAGAUUAAGGUUGACCAAAGCUUGGAAAAUAGCCUAGGUAUAUUCCACACAGGCAGAGACACGACCAUGUGUCUCAGCCGUGUAUGGAAUAUGACUUUGGGACACGGGCGUGUGGAGUCUUAAAGCAUGAAAUUUUCAAGAUUUUCGUAAGUUCUCGGUUUAGUCCCGAACCCUUUCUAAAGUAUGUUUUCAGCUUCGUAGACUCAAAUAAGGGACUAUGUGUAAGUGAAUGAACGUUUUGAAAUAUGAAUGGAAUUUUAUGGCCCGUAUUUUAGUUUAAUAUUUGUAUGUUUGUCCGGUAAUGCCUCGUACCUUAUCCCGGCCUCAGGUACGGGUAAGGGGUGUUACAAGGGAAGCCAAUGUGAAAACCCCAAAGGGCACUUUGGGACUUCUAUUUCAAAAAAAAAGAAAAAGAAAAGAAAAAAAAAGAAAAAAGAGAAAAAAGAAAAAAGAAAAAUGGAGAGGCCAAGGUGAAAACUCGCAAAGGGCGCCAUGAGACCAAAGGGGUUUUGAGUUGAAAACCCGAAAGGGCAGCUCAAAUUUGGAAAGUCAUGCAGUGACCUUGCUAUACCGGAUUCGACGAGAAGUGAAGUAUGUUACAUAUCGAGGCAUCAACGAAUUACUUUGGAUCUUUUAAACACAUGUUGAACUCAAGAAAGUCUUCAUGAAGCUGGUGUAUAGAUGCUCAAGCGGUGAUAUCUGGGGCAUCUUAUUUCUGUCCUAUUUACUAUCUUUGGAUUCUUUUUCUUCGCAAAGAUAUGUUCUCAGGUUAAUCUUUUUGCAUUCCUUCCAAUAAUUUGUCCAAAUCUAAUUAUCCUCAGGAUCAAUUUAUUUGUCUCCCAUUAUUCAUAAAGCAUUGAAAUAAUGAUAGAUGAACUAAAAUAUCUUCACAAACGAAGUUUUGCAUAUUACUCUGGAAAUUUCUAGAUAAUACAAGAAAUUGAAACAAGACAAUUGUUUAAGGAAUUCUCAUAUGUAUGGGUUGGAGAUACUCGAGAGAUUUUCUUCUUCAGUCCAAAAGGUGGUUGGACGUUUGAAGCAAUAUUGAUCUUAAGAAAGGAUCAUUUCAUAAACAUCUUCAGUGGGUCGUAACAUUUGGGGAAUGGUAUGGUAGACCAAAUUGAUGGAGAAGAUUCGAGGCAUACGAGCAGAGUAUGAUUGAUGUGUCGAGAAGAACGAGGUGGAAAGCUUGAUAGAUGAAUGAGUGAUGACGUCCGAAAUAGAAGUUAUUUUCAUAAACAUUUUGCAUCAUAAUAUGUCUAAUUAGGAGCAUUUGACUCAUUUCGAUCAUGGCAUCUUAAUUAUUUGGCAUAAGCAUAAAUUCCAAGAAAUCAAUUCUACAGGUGGAUUCCCCAGUGGACAAUGUAGCAAGAUUGAUUGAAAAUUACAAAAUUCAGCGCCUUAAUCCCCUAAGCAGUAGGGUAACAGGUUCGCAGAUCUUAUCUCCCUAAACAGUAGCGGAGCAGAUUGAAGACCCGCCUUAAUCCCCUAAGUAGUAGGGUAACAGGCUAAAAUUACAGAUCUAGCGUCUCCAUAUUCGACGGAGAGCAGACACAUAGCAGAUCUAACCUUCAGAUGUUUAUACUGAAGCAGAUCCAAGAUGAUUUGGCAUUCUUGUGUUUACAAGGAGCAAAUCGAAGACAUAGCAGAUCUGACUUUUAGAUGUUUUCACAUCAAAGCAGAUCUAAGAUAACAGAUCUGGCAUCUCCAUUUCGACGGAGAGCAGAUACAUAGCAGAUCUAACCUUCAGAUAUUUAUACUGAAGCAGAUCUAAGAUGAUUUGGCAUUCUUAUGUUUACAAGGAACAAAUCGAAGACAUAGCAGAUUUGACUUUCGGAUGUUCUCACACCAAAGCAGAUCCAAGAUAACAGAUCUGGCAUCUCCAUUUCGACGGAGAGUAGAUUAAUAGCAGAUCUAACCUUUAGAUGAUUUUACUGAAGCAGAUCCAAGAUGAUUUGGCAUCCUUGUGUUCAUAAGGAGCAAAUCGAAGACAUAGCAGAUUUGGCUUUCAUGUGUUUACACUGAAGCAGAUCUAAGAUGAUUUGGCAUCUCUGUAUUGUCAGAAGACAAAUCAAAGAAGUAGAUUUGGCAUCUCUGUGUUCGACGGAGAGCAGAUCGAAGAUAUUAACAUGACAGUCUUGAGUUUGCAAGGAGCAGAUUGAGGACCAUGAAGUCUAAAGCUGAUGAGACUGGGCAAAAUGGGUCUUUUUAUAGUCUUUGCUCUAUUCUCGUUACACGACAAUGAGCAAAGAGGGGCAGCUGUAAUCGCCCAUUUUUGCCCGGCCCAUUUCAGUAUUUAAAAUAAUAAACCCCCAAAAAAUAAAAAUAAAACAAAGUCCAAGUCCAGUACAAAAUUACAAACAUAUAAUUUGGUCCAAUCGGAAUGGCCCAUUACUUGAAAAGAUUUAAGGUCCAUCUAUAAGCUUGACUCAUAUGGAAAUAUAAUCUUUAAGGAUAUGCAAUCUUAGAUAUAAUAUGCAAUCUUAGAUAUGAUACAAUCUUAGAUAUGAUAUGCAAUCUUAGAUAUGAUAUGCAAUCUUGAAGAUAUGAUCUUGUAAUCUUGGAGAUUUAAUUUGUAGAUAUCCUUUAAUCUUAACCGUUGAUGUAAUUGAUCUGUACCGUUGGAUUUGGGGAGGCUCAACUAUAAAUAGAGGCCUCUCCCUUCAUUGUAAGUCACUGGAGUUUUGGGAAGCAAUAAGAAUUCUUGAGAGCAUUCACUCAAAUUUCUCUCCCCCUUACGUUCUUAGUCUCUGUGGCUUGUUCUUAUUUUAUUCUUCGUCUAUCUUAGUUUUUCAACCUUUUUUUUAUUUUAAUUUCUUCAAUUUUCAAAUAUGUAUAUUUAUUCCUAUCCUUUAUACAUUUGAUUAUGUAUUUUAUAUAUUAUAAUAUUUAACCUUUUUAUAUAGUUUAUUUUCAAAUAUAUAUUUUCUAUUAUGAUAUCCUCAAAUUUGAGCAUUCACUCAAUUUUCUCUCCCUCUUAUGUUCUUAUUUCCUACGGUUUGUUUUUAUCUUAUUCUUUGUUCAUCUUCGUUUUUCACCCCUUUUUAUUUUGAUUUAAUCCAUGUUUCCCUGAUUUUUUUAUAUAUUUUAAUUUUUUAAUAAUUUUAGUAUCAUAUCAAACUAUUUCAUUUUUAAUAGUUUUUUUUAGUAUUACUCUUAGUAAAUUAUUUUUUUAAAAUUUUACUCAAAUCAUUAUUUUAAAAAAUAUAUUUCAUUUAAUUUUCAUAUUUUAUCCAAAAGUUUUUCUAAAAUGAGGCAAUGUUUUUCGUAUUUAGGAAUUCGGGAAAUAGUGCCCUAACAUGCUGAGUUGUGAUUUCCCGUUUGUCUAAAUGCCUAAAGUAUCCUUCUAAAUAGAUUUUGUAAAUCACAAGAUGAUUUCGGUUACGAGAGUUUAAGAAUAUCGUGUCCUAUCAUGUUGGAUGUGAUGUUUGUAUUCUUUCGGAGCUAAGGAAUUUUGAUUUUUCAACUUAAAUAAUUCCGGUUUUAAAAAUGGGAUCUUAUUUUUAAAUCCUUUCAAAUUUUUGACAUUAAGACAGAAAUCUAUUCAAUUUGGUACCAAUUUUGGGCAUUGCGAGAGUGCUAAUCCUUCCUCGUACGUAACCGACUCCCGAACCUGUUUUCUUAAAAUUCGUAGACCAAAACGUUUUAUAAGGUGAUCCAAUCACACCUAAAAAGGUUGGUGGCGACUCCCAUUUUUGUUUUUCUUAAAGUCGAUUCCCAUUUUCCAAAACUCGAUUUAAAAAUGGUUUCGACACAUAUAUUAUUAUAUAUUAUUUUCUAUAUAUUAUUCCUUUAUUAUUUAUUUGUAUAUAAAAUUAAAUUUAUAAAUAUUUACAAGAUAAUAUAUAUUAUUACUAUAUUUUUAAUGUUUAGUAUUUUAAAAUUUACUACAAAUAACAUAUAUUUUUAAGAGUAUAUUAAGUUAUUAUAUCAUGUAAUGUGUUAUAUAUAUUUAUUAAUCAUCUCUAAGAAAAUUUACCCUCAUCAUUUAUACUAAAUUUUAAUAUUUUAUUAAAUACUUCAUUUUUUUUAAAAAAAUUUGUAUUCAUUUUCUUAUUUUCAUUUUUGAUUUGUAUGUUCAUAAUUUUAUUUAUUUUAUGUAUCUCAUUAUAUUUAUUCAAUAUUAUUUUAAAAUAGUAAUAAUAUCUCAUCACCUGUUUGUUAUUUUUAUAUCUAUUAAGAAUUGAUUAUUUAUAUUGUUUUAAGCGGUAUUUUCAUAGAAUAUUGUUAUAUAAUAACUAAAUUCAUUGCUUUCUAUGUUAUAUUUUGUAUGAAAUAUUAUUAUGUAUGUAUUCUGUAAUCUAUAUUGUUAUUCUUGUUGUUCUCUAUGAUUAUAGUUGCAUGAAAUGAUAAUGCAUACUAUAAUUUAUGUAGUCAUUCAUCAUUUACUUUAUUAUAUUUGUGUGAAGUAUUAAAUUAUGUAGUUUAUAUUGUUAGUAUUGAUGUCGUAAUAUGUUAAAUGCAUCAUUAUUUUAAAAAACCUUUAUAUUUCAUUCAAUCCAAAAGAUUUUUUUUAAAAAAAAUAAUAAGGCAAUAUUUUUGAUAGUUAGGAAUCCGGGAGAUAGUGCCCUAACAUGCUGGGUUGCGAUUUCCUGUUUGUCUAAAUAUCUAAAAUAUCCUUCUAAACGAGUUUUACAAAUCACAAGAUGAUUUCAGUUACGAAAGUUUAAAAAUAUUGUGUCCAAUCAUGCUGGAUGUGAAGUUUGUACUCUUUUAAAACGAAGGAAUCUUGAUUCUUUUUAACUCAAAGCAUUAUGGUUUUAAGGGAAUCUCAUUUCUAAAUUCUUUCAAACUUCUAACACACAGGUAAAAUUAUUCAAUUUGGUACCAAUUUUGGGCGUUACGAGGGUGCUAAUCCUUCCUCGUACGUAACUGACUCUCGAACCUAUUUUCUCAUAAUUUCGCAGACCAAAACGUUUUAUAAAGUGAUCCAAUCACACUUUAAAAGAUUGGUGGCGACUCCUAUUUUUUGUUUUUUUAAAACCUGUUUUAAAGCGGUUUCGACCGCUUGGCGACUCCGCUGGGGACUUAAGAGAGUCGAGCCAAGAAAUUGAUUAUUUUUUGUCUUAAUGUCGGAAGUUUGGAAAAUUUAAAAUUUGAUUUUGUUUUUACAUGUGUUUGCUGCAUAUGUUUGUUACCUUAUUGCUAUACAUUGCAUUUGCAUGACCGUUGUGGUCACACCAUUAAGUGGGAGUGAGAAGCUAAGCUUUCGUGAGGUUUUCACCUUCGUAUAAGCUAGUGGAUUGCUUCCGGGAUACUGUACCUAUGUCUUUGUGAGAUUUUCAUCUCCGUAUGGCCAUAGGGAAAUGUGUCCCCCUGAACUGAACUUGGUCUAUAUGAGCCUAUAAUGGGUGAAGACCGAGGAAUCUGCUGGUUCAGGUACCCUGGCUUUAGAACUAAAACUCAUAUAGUGAACUUUAAAGAGUUUACCCUAGGAAAGAUAGUGAUAGCCUUUAGUGAGCUACCCUUAUAAGUAUUUGUUUAUCAUUUUUUAUAUAUGAUACUGACUUAUUUUUAUUUUGCUGUCAUUGCAUUUCAUUUAAAGGUGUCGAUUCACGGCUCGAUUUCUUGAUUAGAAAGUUUUGUAAUGAGGAAUGAAUACCUUAAUAAAGUAGAGGACAAUGCUUCUGUCUGUACCUGGUCAGAGAAAACCCAGUUAGAGAAAGGAGAUAGUGUCACCGAAGGGUAUACGUCAGAGUUAUAGGACUUCACUCGUAUUAAUUCGGCACAGAACGAGUUUCAGGAGUUGAGAGACAUUUGGGUCCAAUGGGAUGACGAGGCUAAGCAGCUUUUCUAUCAGAAUUACGGAGACCUUCCCUAUUUGCUGGACAUCAAAGUAGAUAAGCAUUUGUUGUGAGCUAUGGUACAGUUCUGGAACCCUGCUUAUAGUUGCUUUACAUUUGGUGAUGUUGAUCUUGUACCUACUUUGGAGGAGUAUACGACUUUACUGCAUUGCCCAAGGAUUUAGGAUUACAAGGCUUAUGUUAGGCCUGCUAGUCUUCCAACUUUUACGAAGAAGUUGCUAAUGAUUACUGGGAUGAGUGAGCAGUGGGCUGUAGCUCGUGUGCAGCAAAAGGGUGAUAGUAAGUGUGUUUCAUGGGCUGUUUUGAGGGAUUUGAUAUCGACACAUCCAGACGUGAAAAUAAGGGUCGACGUCCUGGCUUUGAGUAUUUAUGGCAUGGUGAUUUUCCCAAAGGCGUUGGGGCAUAUAGAUGAAGCGGUUGCGGAUUUGUUCGGUCGAAUUGGUAAACAGAGCACACCUGUGCCCACAAUCCUAUCUGAGAUGAUAAGAUGUGCAUGUCGAGGAGCUGGUGAAGGAAGGUUCAUUGGAUGUGCAUAGUUGCUGCUGGUUUGGUUUUAUAGCCACUUUUGGAAGCUUGGUAAAGUUCCUUGCUGAGUAUUCUUUGAGGGUUAUUCUCCCUUAAAGGAAGCAGUAGACAUGCCUAGGAGAGAUGACAUUUCAGAAGAGAGGUGGAUAGAUAUUCUUCAGAAUCUUCAAGAGGAAGAUGUUAUGUGGAAGGCUCAUUGGUUGGUUCCUAGUGAAGUCCUUUACCGAUGUGGCGGUUUUGAUUGGGUUCCUUCGCCAGGAAUUUAGGGAGUAGUUGGAUAUACACCAUUGCUUGUUCUAAGGCAAUAUCGAGCAAGGCAGUUCAUACCGGCUACACAGGGUUUAGCUCAGAGUGAUUUCUCUUAUAAACGAGAUCACUACAAGAAGAGGAUGCGAGAGAUUUCUGAGGCUUGGAAGAAGCCUUUCUACAUAAAGAUCUUGACUGAAGGCUCGGUGUCAACCCUUGAGUAUAAAGGUUGGUUUAAUAGGAAAGUCAAUGAUAAUGUCCCUAGGCCAAUUUUGGGAGUGGCUCGAUUAUUAGAGGAGAGCUUACGAGUGAUUCCAUCAGAGUUGGAGGUUAUAAAGAAAGAGUUUGAGAGAAAGAAUUUAUAGGUUGAAAAGAGGAUAGAGAAGCUCGAAGAGGAAAAAAUGUGUUUGAGUCUCGAUGUCGAUGUUCAAAAGAUGGAAGUCGAGAAGGUGAAAAAGGAAAAGAGAAAGAUCGAGGAAGAUCGAGAUGACUUAAAGACGCACUACAAGAAGGCCCAGGUAACAUUGAAAAGAGUCGGAUUAGGGAGAUCUUCAGAGCAGUGGCAACAUGAGAUCCAAGAGGAAAGAGCCAAAGCCGAGUAUUGGGAGAAAAAGUUCCAAGAGAUGCAGUCACGUAAUCAGGCCCUAGAAAAGGAAAAUCAAGGAUUAAAAGUUAAGGUGACAGAGCUUGGACGAUCUCUUCAUCAUUAUCGAAGUCAUAAUUCUGCAGCCGAGUUAAAAGCAAGUCUAAAUAAGAUCGAGGAAAUGAAGUACAAUAUUGGAGGGUUGGAAGCAGCACUACAGGGCUGUGAGCUACGGAUCGAACAGCUCGAAGUAAGAGAAGAACAGUAGAAGGGAGAACUUCACCAUCUUUGGGAUCAAGUGAGAGAUAGAGAUCAUGUCAUGGAAGAGGCCUUAGUUCAGAUUCAAGGGGUUGCUGAACACUUGCAGGAUUUGGCAAUACAAGCUAGAACGCUGAGUAUAAUGUAUGAGUCAUCGUCAGACAGAGGACGAGAGUUAGCAUUGUGAUUAGAUAGGGUUAAAACUCUAGGCCUACGGGUGAAAGUGUAUUUGUAAUCCAUUUUAUAAAAAGAUUUUUGUUCCUUAAAUAACGUUUUCUAAAAUGAAACUGAAUUAGAACCGACAUCUUUUUGCGUUCAUGCAUUUUCAUCUCAUCACAUCAUAUGCAUUCAAGUUUAUAGAAAGACCCUAAUUAGUUAAAUUAUUAGGGAGAAAGAGAGUAAGAGAAAGAAAAUCUGGAAGCAACAUAUCCUUACGGUACACGCGCUAAGUCGAAGAAUAUGGACCAAAGAUUUGAACAGCUACAGAAAGACAUGCAGGAUCAAUUAUAGGAGCAAUUGGAAAAAAUGCAAAAUGCCAUGAGGGAGCAAAUGUUAGAAGCUCAAAGAAACAUGAUGGCUGAGAUGGCUCAACUACUGAGAGCCACUGAUAAGGGAAAGGCCCCCAUGGCAAUCACUGAAGAGGAGAAUGAGGGUCAUCCUCCUGGUUUUGCUCCACCUCACGUACAAACCCAACCUGAGGCAUAUCCCCGAAGGCCGUCUGUCACAAUAAGGCCUCAACAGGGCCAAGUCGAUGCUGGGAUCCCCAUAAAUUUUCCAACUGGCUCAGGAUUCAAUUUGGGUGACAACCCUGCAAAUCCUGUCAUUCCUGACUUAGACAUGGCUGAAAAAGAGGAUUUAAGAACUGAGGCUGCUAGAUAGUUGGAAGAACGCUGCAAAUGGUUGGAGGAAAAAUUCAAGGCUUUAGAGAAUAUUCAUGGGCAUCAUAGAGUUGAUGCCAAAGAUCUAAGCCUGGUCCUAGACUUGGUGCUUCCUCACAAAUUCAAGAUGCCAGAAUUUGAGAAGUACAAUGGGACUACUGGCCCAGAAGCCCACAUUACGAUGUUCUGUAGGAGGAUGACUGGGUAUGUGAAUAACGAUCAACUGUUGAUCCACUGUUCCAAGACAAUUUAAUUGGAGCAGUAGCCAAGUGGUAUAAUCAACUAAGUCGGGCCAGAAUAAGUUCAUGGUGGGAUCUUGCGCAAGCCUUCAUGCAACAGUACAAUCAUGUGACUGACAUGACUCUGGAUAGGAUUACGCUACAAAACAUGGAGAAAAUGCCUAAUGAAAAUUUUAGGCGAUAUGCACAGCGAUGAAGAGAGGUGGCAAUGCAAGUUCAACCAUUGUUGUUAGAGAAUGAGACUACCAUGUUGUUCAUCAAUACUUUAAAGGCUCCAUUCAUCACUCACAUGAUCGGGAGCACCACUAAAAGCUUUGCAGAUAUAGUCAUGGCGGGAGAAAUGAUCGAGAAUGUGAUAAGAGGUGGAAAAAUAGAGGGAGAAGCAACCAAAGAUCGACCCCAAGGAGAAAGGAUGGUGAAGUGAAUAACACAAGCACCUACAAUACAAGGGCAAUCACAGUUGGUCAACCUAAAACAGCUGUGGUUGAGCAACAAAAUUCUCAAAAGAAGGAGUCGGGUACAAGGCAGAAUUCUGAAAGGAUGCAAUUAACACCUAUUCCCGUGACGUAUCGUGAGCUUUAUCAAAGCUUAUACGAUGCACAUGCUAUUUCUCUUUUUCAUCUAAAACCACUGCAGCCCCCAUAUUCCAAAUGGUAUGACACAAACGCCAGAUGCGAAUACCAUGCUGGAAUACCGGGGCAUUCGAUCGAAAAUUGUACUGGUUUCAAGAAGGCCGUAGAGAGGCUUAUUAAGAUGGGGGUAGUGAAGUUCGACAAUACCCCUAACACUGAAAACCCGUUGCCAAAUCAUAACGAUCAAGGAGUGAAUGCCAUUGGUGAAACCAGCGAGAGAAGAAUAAAGGAAAAUGUUGCUGAUGUGAGGAUGCCUAUGAAGGUGAUUUGGGAGGAGAUUGUGAAGAGAGGUAUGUUAACCUCUAAAAAUAAAGGAAGAGAAACAAGGAACUCUGGAGAGUUCAUGAAAUUCAAGAUUGUGAAGAAUUCAAGGCCUUGGUGCAAAACUUUAUAGACAAUAAAGAGCUACAAAUUUUUGAAAGUAGCUCUUGUGAAAAACAAGUAUGUGUGCUAGAGGAUGAACAGAAAGAAACUAGCUGGCCGAGGAUUAUUAUUUCCUUGUUGGGGAAUAAUAAGGUAGGGGUACAAAUGGUGCCUAAGGUCAUUAUCCAUAAACCUACGCCUUUCCCUUAUAAAGAUAGUAAGAGGGUACCAUGGAGUUAUAACUAUAGUGUGAUAGUGUCGGAUGAGGAGAAUAUUGCUAGUACGUAUAAAGAUGUACAAGUUGAGGGUUCCCAUACACGGAGUAGGAAGCGGUAUGAUACGAUGGGCGUCAGAGAAGAGCCCACAAAAACAAAGAAUGUUAGUGCAGAGAAGGAAAAAGAGGUUGAAGUGCCUGUCAAGGAGCUAGUAAAGGAGGAGGAGGCUAAGGAAUUUCUAAAGUUCCUUAAGCAUAACGAGUAUAGCGUCUGCAUAGGCAACUGGCUCGCAUAUCAGUAUUGGCCUUACUUCUGAGUUCUGAAGUGCAUCGGAAGGCAUUGAUGAAGGUGCUCAACGAAACAUAUGUCACCCAUGACAUAUCUGUUAGCAAGCUGGACCAUUUGGUGAACAACAUAAGUGCGGAUAAUUUCAUCUACUUUAAUGAUGAUGAGAUCCUACCGGGGGGCAGGGGGUCAACUAAGGCCUUGCACAUCACAACUCGAUGCAAGGGGUACACACUCCCAAGCGUGCUUGUCGAUAAUGGAUCAGCCUUGAAUGUUCUACCGUUAUUUACAUUCAACAGAUUACCCAUUGAUGAUUCUGACAUGAAGACAUGUCAAAAUAUGGUAAGAGCCUUUGACGGUACAGAAAGGAAGGUGCUGGGAAAGAUUGACAUCCCUUUGGAAAUUGGGCCGAAUAUAUACGAAGUAGACUUCUUGGUGAUGGAUAUCAAGCCUUCCUACAAUUGCUUAUUAGGCAGGCCAUGGAUACAUUCAGCGGGAGCAGUGCCCUCAUCAUUGCACAAGAAAUUAAAGUUAGUGACGAAUGGACGGAUGGUAACCAUCAAUGCGGAGGAGGACAUUAUAGCUACAGUUACUAGCAAAACCCCUUAUGUCGAGAUGGACGAAGAAUCUAUUGAGCGUUCCUUUCGCUCUUUAGAAUUUGUGAAUGCAACCUUCAUUUCAGAAGGGAGUGAGUUACCGGUGCCAAGGAUAGCAAGAGCUACGAGGACGGCUCUACAAAUGAUGGCGGGAAAGGGAGCCUUACCAAGAAAAGGGUUAGGAAAAUACUUGCAAGGAGGGACUCAAAUCCCAGAGCUUAAAGAGAAGAGAGAUCGCUUUGGUCUAGGCUUCAAGCCAGACUAUAAGCAAAGGAGGAAAGAAGUUGAGAAACGCCAAGAGGGAAGAAGGGCGCGCCUUAAUAGAAGAGAAGUGGAGUGGGAGCCGAUGACAUUCCCUCUAAUAUCCCAAACCUUCAUAUCGAGAGGGUUACUCAUAGAAGGAAGUCAUCAGAUUAAUGCUAUACAAUAUAAAGGAUUAAAGCAAGGAAACCUUGAGGGUAUUCACCCUUACGAACCAGAAAGCUCUCUGAACAAUUGGACUGCGGAGGAACUUCCUAUAGUCUUUAGGAAUUUUUUAGAAUAAUUUUCGAAACAUUCUUGUUACUCUAGAGCUUAGGAGUAAUAGGAUUACAUUUGUGAAAUAGGCUUACGAUCAUCUGUUAUUUUUUAAUAAAACAUAACUUUUAUCAAUUUGAACGAGUAUUGUUUCAUUUUUAUCAACCAAUAUUCUGUUAAAUUUUGACAAUUCUUAUUCUUUCAUUCAUAGCACAUAAAUAAUCAUUCUUAAAUUCAUUCAUUCUUUGUAUAUUCUUUAUACUUCAUAGGUCCCUAGAUAUCAAUGACAUGAGCACUGAUAUUACAAAUCCUUAUUUUUCUCGUGAGCAAGACAUGUGUUUAGAAGAAUCUCAGGAUUUUGAAGAUGGUCAGGAUUGUGAUGUAUCUCUGGAUCUAUUGAGGAUGGUAAAAUAAGAGGAGAAACAAAUCAUGCCACAUGAGAAAGAGGCAAUAGAGAAUGUAGCCCUAGAGGAAGGGAAAGAGGUGAAAAUUGGCACACAUAUUACUGAGAACACAAGGCAAGGACUGAUUGAGUUGCUACGUGAGUUUAAGGAUAUCUUUGCAUGGUCCUAUCAAGAUAUGCCAGGGUUAAAUACUGAUAUUGUGGUGCAUCGUCUCCCAAUAAGGCAGGAUUGUAAGCCAGUCCAACAAAAGUUGCGAAGAAUGAGGCCAAAUAUCAUGUUGAAAAUAAGGGACGAAGUCAAGAAGCAAUUUGAUGUAGGAUUCUUACAAGAGGUGAAGUACUCUAAAUGGGUAGCUAACAUUGUACUAGUUCUUAAGAAGGAUGGAAAGGUAUGAAUGUGCGUUGACUACAGAGAUCUGAACAAAGCUAGCCCAAAAGAUAAUUUCCCUCUGCCACACAUAGACACUUUAGUAAACAAUACAGCGGGAUAUUCAUUAUUUUACUUUAUGGAUGGUUUCUCAGGAUAUAAUAAAAUAAAGAUGCAUCCUGAAGACAUGGACAAAACCACCUUCAUAACAUUGUAGGGUACCUUUUGUUACAAGGUAAUGCCUUUUGGGAUGAAGAAUGCAGGGGCAACAUACCAGAGGGCUAUGGUGACCUUAUUUCACGAUAUGAUGCACAAGGAAAUUGAGGUGUAUGUCGAUGAUAUGAUUGCCAAAUCUCGAAUGGAGGAGGAACAUAUUAAAGUUUUAAAGAAACUAUUCUUGAGAUUAAGGAAGUUUCAUUUAAAACUUAAUCUGGCAAAGUGCACUUUCGGAGCUAGGUCAGGGAAAUUAUUAGGCUUUGUGGUCAGUGAAAAAGGAGUAGAAGUUGACUCCGAUAAAGUUAGAGCCAUAAGAGAUUUGCCUCCACCACGUACUCAGAAAGAAGUCUGGGGUUUUCUUGGAAGGUUGAAUUAUAUUGCUUGGUUUAUUUCGAAAUUAACUGAGAAAUGUGAUCCUAUAUUUUGCCUCCUUAGAAAGUACAACCAAGGUACUUGGAAUGAGGAAUGCCAGAAUGCCUUUGAUAAAUUCAAGCAAUACUUGUUAAAUGCUCCAGUACUAUAUCCACCUAGUCUAGAUAAACCCUUAAUUCUGUACUUGUUGGUGUUUAGUUAUUCCAUGGGAUGUGUGCUUGGUCAACAUGAUGAGUCAGGAAGAAAGGAGAGGGAGAUAUAUUACCUCAGUAAGAAAUUUACAGAGUGUGAGAUGAGAUAUUCGCCAAUUGAGAAAUUGUGUUGUGCUUUAAUCUGGAUGACUUGAUGGUUAAGACAGUACAUGCUAUAUCAUACUACUUGGCUUAUUUCAAAACUUUAUCCUUUGAAGUAUAUGAUGGAGUCAAUAGCUUUGAAUGGGAGAAUGACAAGGUGGCAAAUUCUACUUUCAGAGUUUGACACAGUCUAUGUGAGCCAGAAGGCUAUAAAAGGAAGAACGAUAGUAGAAUUUCUGGCUAGUAGAGCUCUAGAAGACUAUGAGCCAUUAAAUUUUGAUUUCCCAAAUAAGGAGUUGAUGUGUGUAGUAACUACAGAGGAUUAUCAUUGGAAGUUGAGCUUUGAUGGGGCAUCCAAUGCAGUGGGAAAUAGAAUUGGGGCAGUCCUGGUAUCCCCAAAUGGCAAUUAUUAUCCAUUCACGUGCAAAUUGGAUUUUGAUUGCACAAACAAUAUGGCCGAGUAUGAAGCGUGCAUCAUGGGACUCCGAGCGGCUAUAGCGCGAGGGAUAAGAACCUUGGAAAUAUGUGGAGACUCUGCGUUGGUAAUUUACCAGCUUAGAGGUGAAUGGGAGACAAGGGAUUCUAAAUUGAUCAAUUAUCGAAAGGUUUUGGGGUUACUUGAGGAGUUUGAUAAAAUCAUUUUCAAUUAUAUCCCACGAGACGAAAACCAGAUGGCAGAUGCUCUAGCAACCUUGGCCUCAAUGAUUAGAGUAAAUAAAGAGGAGGAGAUAAGACCCAUUCAGAUGAGUAUCUUUGAGGCUCCAGCUAGUUGUUGUAAUAUUGAGGAAGAAGAAAAGGAUGAUAACCCUUGGUAUUAAGAUAUAUUGCGAUACGUGAGAGAUCAUAAAUACCCAGAACAGGCAACUGAAAAUGAUAAGCGAACUUUAAGGAGAUUAGCUUGUGAUUACGUUUUGGACGGGAACAUCUUGUACAAAAGAAGAAAAGACCAAGUAUUGUUGAGAUGUGUUGACGCCGUGGAGGCUAAGUUAAUCUUGGAAGAAGUACAUGAGGGUGUUUGUGGGACACACGCUAAUGGUUUCACGAUGGCUAGACAAAUCAUGAGGUUUGGAUAUUAUUGGUCUACUAUGGAAGGGGAUUGUAUCAACUACGCCAAGAAAUGCCAUAAAUGUCAGAUUUAUGGAGACAAGAUUCACGUACCCCCUUCACCUCUACAUGUUAUGACUUCUCCAUGGCCUUUUUCUAUGUGGGGCAUGGAUGUCAUUGGGCCGAUAUCAACAAAAGCCUCAAAUGGACAUCGCUUUAUUUUCGUGGUCAUUGAUUACUUCACGAAGUGGGUAGAGGCUGCUUCUUAUGCAAAUGUUACUAAGUCGGCUGUAAGUCGAUUCUUGAAGAAAGAGAUCAUUUACCGGUAUGGGAUGCCUGAAAGGAUCAUAUUAGACAAUGCAUUGAACUUGAACAACAAAAUGAUAGCAAAAGUUUGUAGUCAGUUUAAGAUUAAGCAUCAUAAUUCAUCUCCAUAUCGCCCAAAGAUGAAUGGGGCAGUGGAAGCUGCUAACAAAAACAUCAAGAAGAUAGUGGGGAAAAUGACUGAAACUUAUAGAGAUUGGCAUGAGAAGUUACUGUUUGCACUCUUAGCCUAUCGAACGUCUAUCAGAACUUUUACUAGGGUAACUCUUUUCUCGCUAGUUUAUGGGAUGGAGGCAGUAUUACCCAUUGAAGUUGAAAUACCUUCUCUUCGAAUUAGGCAGAGUGGAUUCAAUCGCGGUAUGACCAAUCGAACUUGAUUGAAGAGAAGAGGCUAAAAGCUAUUCGCCAUGGUCAGAUGUAUCAAAAGCGAAUGAUGCGAGCUUAUGAUAAGAAAGUACGUCCAAGAGAAUUCCAUAAAGGGGAUUUUGUAUUAAAAAAGAUCCUCCCCAUUCAGAAGGACUUUAGAGGAAAAUGGAUGUCAAAUUGGGAAGGGUCGUAUGUUGUGAAGAAGGCUUUCUUUGGAGGUGCAUUGAUCUUGACAGAAAUGGAUGGGAAGAGUUUACCUAACCUAGUAAAUUCAGACUCAGUCAAAAAGUACUUUGUCUAAAGGAGAGGAGAAUCCAGGGUGAAAACCCGCAAAGGGCGCCUUGAGUUUUCGAAAAAAAAAAGAAGAAAAAAUGGAGAGGCCAAGGUGAAAACUCGCAAAGGGCGCCUUUUGACCAAAGGGUUUUUGAGUUGAAAACCCGAAAGGGCAGCUCAAAUUUUGAAGAACACACGGUAAUCUUGCUAUAUGUGAUUCAGUAAAGAAUGAAGCGCGUUGCAUAUCGGGGCAUCAACGAAGUACUUUGAUCUUUAAACACAUGUUGAACUUAAGGAAGUCUUCAUAGAGCUGGUGUAUAGAUACUCAAGCAGCGAUAUCUAGAGUAUCUAACUUUUAUCUUGUUUGCUAUCUUUAGAUUCUAUUUCUUCUUAAAGAUAGGCUUUCAGAUUAAUUCCCUUUGUAUUUUUGACAAAUUCAUUCAAAUCUAAUUAGUCUCAAGAUUAAAUUCAUCUUCCAUUAUUCUUAAAGUGUGUCGUAUUAAAUAAUGAUAGAUGAACUAAAUAAUUUUCACAAAUGAAGUUUGCUCAUUACUCUAGAAGUUUCUAGAUAAUACAAGAAACUAAAACGGAACAAUUGUUUGAGGAAUUCACGUAAGUGAAGUUCGAAAGAACUCAAGGGAAUUCUUUCUUUAGUCCAAAAUGAUGAUUGGACAAAUCAAACAAUCUGAUCCUAAGAGAGGAUCAUCUUACAAACAUUUUUGAUGGAUCAUAGCAUUUGAAGAAUGGCACGAACCCACAGGCUGAGUAAGAAUGAUAUUUUGAGAGAAAUAAGGAUGAGCUUUGACGAAGGAAGGAGUAGUGACGUCUGGAAUAGGGGUCAUAUUCAUAAACAUUAUAACAUGUUUAAUUAGGAGCAUUUGACUCAUUUCGAUCAUAGCAUCCUAAUCAUUAGACAUGAACUCAUACACAUUAUGCAGGUCAUGUCCUUCAAGGGACAAUGAAGAUUGAUGCGCCUUAACCCCCUAAGCAGUAGGGUAAUAGGCUAAAGCAUAGAAGAUCUGACCUUCAAGUGUUUACGCUGAAGCAGAUCCAAGAUGAUUUGGCAUCUCUGUAUUGUUAGAGAGCAAAUUGAAGAAACAGAUUUGGCAUCUCUGUAUUCAACAGAGAGCAGAUCGAAGACAUAGCAGAUCUAACUUUCAGAUGUUUCCAUAUCGAAGUAGAUCCAAGAUGAUUUGGCGUCCUUACGUUUACAAGGAGCAGAUCAAAGACAUAGCAGAUUUGGCUUUCACGUGUUUACGCUGAAGCAGAUCUAAGAUGAUUUGGCGUCUCUGUAUUGUCAGAGAGCAGAUCGAAGAUAGCAAAUUUGGCAUCUCUGUAUUGUCAGAGAGCAAAUUGAAGACAUAGCAGAUUUGGCUUUCACGUGUUUACGUUGAAGCAGAUCUAAGAUGAUUUGGCGUCUCUGUAUUGUCAGAGAGUAGAUCGAAAAUAGCAGAUUUGGCGUCUCUGUAUUGGCAGAGAGCAGAUAAAAAAUAACAGAUUUGGUAUUCCUAAGUUUUCAAGAAGCAGGUGAAAGAUAGCCAAUUUGACACUCCUAAAGAUGUCAGAAUACCUUUGAGGAAGAUGAGGAUCAAGAUUUUGAGACUUGGCCAGACCAGGCAAAAUGGGUCCUUUUAUAGUCUUUGCUCUAUUACCGUUAUACGACAAUGAGCAAAGAGGGGCAGCUGUAGUAGCCCAUUUCUGCCCGGGCCUUAAAACCAAAAAAUAAAUAAAUAAAUGUUUAUUUUUUACAGAACCCAAAAUACAAACCCACUAACCACUGCCCAAAAAUUAAAACCCAAAAUCAAACCCAAAAAUUCUACUCGUGAACUAUAACCCAAAUACCCGUUGCAUCUAGACCCAAAACAUAUAAGGCCCAAAAGGCCCAAAUUGUUAAAUGAAUACAGAAAGACCUAGGGUUUCAGAAACCCUAGGCGCCGCAAACGGAAGGUUCCAGAAGCUAAACACCGCAAUCAAUGCGUCGGUUCGUCUCGCUUCGCUCCAGCUACCCACCAUCAGUGCCGUGAUUCCAGGCCAUGAUUCCAGGCUUCGAAUCAUGCCGUGGUCUACGCCCGAGUCAACGUCGGUGUUCGUUGUCGCUGAAUCUCCUCGAUCACCUGCAAAAAAUGGAAAGAAACGAUAGAGACGAAACAAAUAUGGCAAGAAAUAACUUUAAAACGUGUAAAAUACUAUGUACAGUGGCUAUAAAAGCCUGAAUCAGAACAGUGUACAGGACGGUUUUUUGGUAAAAAAUACACAUAUACAAUAAAAUAUCAGCGUUUUAUCAAAGAGACAGAGGUGAUAUAUCUUUACUUUUAUGUUUUUUUUCUCUAAAAUAACAUGCAAGUAUUAUUAAAAUAAGUCAGGAUAGAGUUUUAUCGUUGAAAUCGCGUCGUGGCAUCAAGACUUUUCGAAUUCUGGCCGCCGUACAUGGCGGCGUUGACGGUGGCGAGUGGGCGCCUGAGAACGGAGGCUUGAUAGAACCUCGAAGCCGGCCCCAGAUCCUCUUUCAGAGGAUUUAUUUCCUUUUUUUUUCAAAACCGGGCUAAAAUGAUUUUAAAACUGAAACCGGGGCUUAUAUAACCUUACAAAAAUAGUGUCGUUUUGCUUAAUUCAAUAAGCACUAAAAUAGCACCGUAUUAGGUAGAGGAUCCGCGUAUUGACCCGAUUACUUGGGGAGAAUCCGCGUUUUUUUGUAAAUUGGGAUAAUUUCCCAAUUGGUCCUUCCGUUUUUUUAUAUUUUUAAUUUAACCCUAAUAUUUUAAUUUUGAUUCAAUUUGGUCCUCACAGUGGCUUUAAAACCGAGUUCAUGGAAACGGUGUCAUUUUGGGAUUAGGGCUAAAUUGCCCAGUGAGUCCCUCUGGUUUAGCGAGUCUUUUAAAUUGGCCUAAAAUUUUAAAUUUAUUUAUAAUUAACCCUAAGAUUUUAAAAUUAAAUUAAAUUUAAGUUUUGUUAUAUAAAUUCAAUAUAUUUUAAAUAUUAUAUAUUCUUUAUAUUAUUUUAUUUAUAUUAUUUAUAAAUUUUAGUAUAUGUUAUUAUAUAUUUUUAUAUUAUAUAUUAAUUAUUUUAUUAUAUUUUUGUAUGUAAAUUUACGUAAUCAAUCAUUCUUAUUAUUUAUAUUUCAUUAUUUAUAUAUUUUAUAUCAUUAUAUAUGUAUUUUGGUAUACAAAUUUAUUAUAUUUAUAAAUUUAUCAUAUUUCUAACAUUACCUUAUUUUAUUAUAAAUUAGGUAUUAUUUUAUUAUUCAUUAAAUGUCUAAAAUUUUAAUAUUUAAAAAUUAUUAUUAAAUAAUAGUAUGUAUACAUAUCCUUAUAAUAUUUAUUGUAUUACUCAUGUUUCAUUAUAUUUUAGUUAUAUAUAUUUGAUUACAUAUCAUAUAUUAUUAUAUAUUAUUUUCUAUAUAUUAUUCCUUUAUUAUUUAUUUGUAUAUAAAUUUAAAUUUAUAAAUAUUUACAAGAUAAUAUAUAUCAUUAUUAUAUUUUAAUUUGUAGUAUUUUAAAAUUUACUACAAAUAACAUAUAUUUUUAAGAGUCAUAUUAAGUUAUUAGAUCAUGUAAUGUGUUAUAUAUAUAUUAAUCAUCUCUAAGAAAAUUUUCCCUCAUCAUUUAUACUAAAUUUUAAUAUUUUAUUAAAUACUUCAUUUUUUUUUAAAAUUUUUUGUAUUCAUUUUCUUAUUUUCAUUUUUGAUUUGUAUGUUCAUAAUUUUAUUUAUUUUAUGUAUCUCAUUAUAUUUAUUCAAUAUUAUUUUAAAAUAGUAAUAAUAUCUCAUCACCUGUUUGUUAUUUUUAUAUCUAUUAAGAAUUGAUUAUUUAUAUUGUUUUAAGCGGUAUUUUCAUAGAAUAUUGUUAUAUAAUAACUAAAUUCAUUGCUUUCUAUGUUAUAUUUUGUAUGAAAUAUUAUUAUAUAUGUAUUCUGUAAUCUAUAUUGUUAUUCUUGUUGUUCUCUAUGAUUAUAGUUGCAUGAAAUGAUAAUGUAUACCAUAAUUUAUGUCAUCAUUCAUCAUUUACUUUAUUAUAUUUGUGUGAAGUAUUAAAGUAUGUAGUUUAUAUUGUUAGUAUUGAUGUCGUAAUAUGUUAAAUGCAUCAUUAUUUUAAAAAACCUUUAUAUUUCAUUCAAUCCAAAAGAUUUUUAAAAAAAUAAUAAUAAUAAGGCAAUGUUUUUGAUAGUUAGGAAUCCGGGAGAUAGUGUCCUAACAUGCUGGGUUGCGAUUUCCCGUUUGUCUAAAUAUCUAAAAUAUCCUUCUAAACGAGUUUUACAAAUCAUAAGAUGAUUUCAGUUACGAAAGUUUAAAAAUAUUGUGUCCAAUCAUGCUGGAUGUGAUGUUUGUACUCUUUUAAAACGACGGAAUCUUGAUUCUUUUUAAUUCAAAACAUUACGGUUUUAAGGGAAUCUCAUUUCUAAAUUCUUUCAAACUUCUGACACAAAGGUAAAAUUAUUCAAUUUGGUACCAAUUUUGGGCGUUACAAGGGUGCAAAUCCUUCCUCAUACGUAACCGACUCCCGAACCUAUUUUCUCAUAAUUUCGUAGACCAAAACGUUUUAUAAAGUGAUCUAAUCACACUUUAAAAGAUUGGUGGCGACUCCCAUUUUCAUUUUUUUUAAAACCCGUUUUAAAGCGGUUUCGACACUCACGUCUCCUAGCGUCGAUAUAGCUGGCUCCCCACAUACUUGCUCUAGAAAGCCAUCAUAAACAGAUCUCAAGUCAACCGGUUGGGCUGAGUGCCAUCCUUAACCAUCAGCUACCACUAGUACGCUUCAUCGCGAAGCAGUGAAACAGCCCCCUUGAGCUUCUGCUCAGCAGAAAAGUCCAGAUCAUCCAUAAUACACUUAGUGGCCUCCAUCCAGUACUCGACCACAUUAGGAGCAACUCCACCGAUGCCCCUAAAUACCUCAGCCUCAUUGGACCGGAGUCGUUCCGUAACCGACCCACGGCCCCAACGACCCUCUCUAGAAUCUGUAGCAUGGCUUGGGACAGGGCGUCGUCCCUAACCGCACGAUCAUGAGACCUAGUCCCAGAUCCAGUCUCAGUAACAGGGGACACCGAUGUCUCACUAGUGUCCAGAUUCAGAAUCGUAUCAGAUGCGAAAGACUCAGCUUGAGCCCCUCUACGGCCCCUACCACAGCAUCUAGUACCCCAUCCACGAGUACCAUGUGAACUCAUCGUAAUUUCAAAUUAAUCUGUAUUAAAAAAUUUAUGCAAAUCAGUUUACAGUUUCGAUAUUUGUUAACAGAUAUUCUAUGCAGUAAAGUUAUCAGAGUAUUCAGAGUCUGUUAUCGCAAGUCGAAGUUUACUACGACUUUCAGCUUACACUACCUAGAGUGUUUCAAUAAAGUAUACUACCUAUAGUAGUUUCAUAACAUACAUUAGUGUUUCAAACAGAUCCAAAUAGUAUAUUCUAAGCAUGCUUUCAGACAAUUCUAAACAGAGUUUUAAAAACUUACAGGAUCGGCGUCAGAGACUCGGUGUACCACGGUUUAUCAAAAAUAUUUCAGAUCAUUUUGCAAAUCAUUUCUUAAAAACCAAUUUUAAAACCUAAUCCACAAUCGAUUUUGCAACUUGGCUCUGAUACCACUAAAUAUAACACCCAAAACCCGACCUAAACGUUACGGCCGAAUCUAGCGAUGUCAUAUGAGUGUUUUUAAACAAAUCGUAUCAAGUCAUAAAACUGUUCCAAUUAUUAUCUUUUACUUAGUCGGAAAAUCGUGUAAUGGUCGAGUUGCUUUGAAAACAUUUCUUUAUCGCGGAAGCUUUUGAAAACCAUUUAUUCUGAUUAUUUAAGAAAUUGUUUCUAUUUACAAAAACUUUUAGUUAAGUUUAAUAAAAAACCAUGAUUUGGCGUUGUAGUUCAUAUUCCAAAAUCACUGUUUAAAAACCCAGAUUUAAAACCAAAGUCCAAGUCCAAAAUUACAUCAAUAUUCCCGAAAAUAUUAAAUAAGCAAUAGUAGAAAGUUCAUAAACCAAAACAUAUGUGGUUGUGGUCACCGUCGAGUCCUCCGCUGCAUCGAUCCACCUACUGCUGGGGAUUACCUGAACAGAUAAACAAAUAAAGGGUGAGUUUUCACAAACUCAGUGUGUACAUCCCCAUAGUUUAGCAUGCAUAAUCAAAUAUCAGGAUACAAUCAUAAUCCGGGCCUAAGCCUUUUACAGAAUUGGUGGGGCCCUUGACUCGCUCAGAAACAGAAUCAAAUACAGUCUUAGGGCUUCAGCCCAUCUCAGAUAUAACAUGCAUAUCAGAUCAGAAUAUCAGAAACAUGCCCACCAACCCUGCACACCAACUCCGUCCAACCGAACACACCAUGUAAGGAUAAAAUCGACCCACCUAUCUCUACACACUAAAUAUGGGGAUAAAAUGAACCCAUCCAACACUACACACCAUAGAGUACCGUAAUACAAUACAUAUCAUAAAUACGCAGCUUAGCUGCCAAAUAACGGGCUUAUGAAGCCUAUCAAUACUUCUUUCACUUCGUCAAACCCACUCCGAUGCAAUGCAUCAUAUAAGAAUGACAUGUUAUAAUGCAGAUUAACAGAUAUAUACUCAUAAUCAGAACAGAACAUAUAUAUGUAUAUAUACAAACCAAGUAUAGCAUGCUAUCUCCCGCAUCAUAAUAUCGUAUCACAGAAUAGGGGUCUAAGUAAUGCUUACCGACCCUACGUCAAGUUACAGUCGUCUUGGGCAACCUGUGCAACCUUAUAGUACAUUUUAGAAAAAUGGGCUCACACACCUAUAUGGCCUGCCAGUGUAGGCCCACAAGGCCUAAAUUGGCCUUUCCAAUGUGAAUCACACAGCCUGGCCUAAAUUCCUACACGCCCAUAUAGUUCACCUGUGUGGCCCACACGGCGCAAUUGGCCGAGCCCGUGUCUCGUACAUGGUCUACCAGCCUUUACACAAUUGUGUCCAUCGCUCCCGUGUCGCGUGUGCACGGCCUGGUUCGUCGACCACACGCUUGUGUACUUCCACACGGCCUACCACACAGGUGACCACACGCCCGUGUGGCAUCGACAGAAUACUUUUCAGCUUUCAUCAAAUCCCAUUUUUAGUGCGUUCGGAGUACACCCCUAGUAUCGAUUCGAAGCACAAACACUCCUGAGCACUCCAGAACCUAUAUUCGAUAAUAGAUUAUCCAGUUUCGGUCUCUUAAUCCGAAUUGUUGUGACAAAUAUUCCCAAAACUUACCGAUACCUUUACCUUGAACACCGCACGAUCUAACCACACAAUGGCACUAAGGCAGUUCUUUACUCCCAAUUUUUCGCUGUCAAAACACAUUACACAACCCUCCGACCAGACAAUUAGAAAUCAAACUACGAAGUACAAAGAGUGGUUACCAAAAAGGGCUGAAAUAUCAACCAGGACCCCGAAUCGCAGAAGCGAACGAACAAUAAAGGAAACAAUACCGAUUGAAAUAAAAAACAACAAGAAAAUGAAGAAUAGGUGUUGCCAUCAGAUUUUUGAGAAGAAGAGAGAGAGUGCCAAAAUUUCACAAAAAAAUCAGAAUAGGAGAAAUUCUGAUAAGUUCCCCUGUUAUCUCCUCAAAUCUCUCACCACUAUCCCACUAGCAGACUUUUAGUCUGACUGAAACUCUCUCGGUCUAACGAGUAAAAAUAAACUCCCUCGCUCGCGUAGGGAUUCAAACACAAGACAUCCAGUAAACUUAACGCUUCACUUAACCACCAAACCAGCAACCCAUUGUGAUAUGGUUUUGCAAUUAAUUAAACUUAAGCCUACUGAGUAAGGUUAAGGCUUUAUUUAAGUAAAAACCAAAAUUUUUCCCAAGCUAGGACUUGAACUUAGGGCCUCACACACACGCCUAAAACACAUAACCAGUAAAGCAGAUACACAUUUAUGUCAUAUUCUAACAGAAUAAAAAACAUGAAUUUUUGGGGCGUUACAAGAACAUAGUCAAGGGAGAACCGUAUAUUCUUAAAGGAUAAUGUUAUAUGUUUAGCUCUCUCUAUAACAAUAACAACAUUUCAAUGUAACAUUCAACUUUGUUGCAAAAUCAAAAUUUUUAAGUAUGUUUUACUCACUAUAUUAGCUUUUCAUCUAUUACAAUAACUAUUAAAUAUGGAGUAUACUCUUUACUUAAUUAGUUUCCUAUAGCAACCUUUUGUCUAAAAUUUUAGUAAAAUUAGUUAUAUUACUAAGUGAAAUAAAAAUAAUAAAUUCUAGUUAAAAUAUUAUUUCAAUAAAUUGUUUAAAUUUUAUAUAAAAAUAUAUUAUUCAUAUUCUAUUAAAUGGAAAAUAAUUUUUAAUAAAUAGGCUUACAUUUGUAAAUUUUAUAAAGAUACGAUUAAAAUCUCACUAAUCAAGAUUAAUAUUAAUAUAUUAUAGUUUUUUAAAUUAUUUUUUAAAAAAUUCAAAUAUGAUCUAAAUCUCAAAUGUUAUUAUAGGUGUACAACAUUCAUUUCUCUAUAACAUCCAAAAUUUUGGCAGUCAAAUAAAACUAUUAUAGAGAGGCUUGACUAUAUAUUAUUUAGAAUUUACAAAUGGGUCACUAUUGAUACGAGAUUGAGGUUGUUGGAUAAGACUCUAAAUCAUAACAUAAUAAAUUAUAUUAAAUUCUUGUCUUUGUUUUUUUGAUCAUAUUAUAUUAACAUGGUAGAAAAAUCUAAGAAAUUUAAACAAUAUCUAGGCCAUCCUUCGAUUUCUAAUGCGUAAGUAAGCCUAAAGUCACCAAGAAUUAUGAGAGCAGUGAUUAAAACUUUCGAUGAGCACUUAGAUGAUAUAGAUUCAAACUUUGACAUUUUCUUCCCUUUCUCGAUAUUUUAUUGACAAAAGGAAAAUAAAAUGUAAGCCUAAUGUCAUUCUAAUGUAUUAUUCUUUGUUUUCCUCCCAUGAUUAAUAUUAUUACUCGUGAUGAAAAUAGAGUAGAUGGUAGAAGAAUCUGAAAAUUCUUGGGAAGAAUUUGAAAUUUCUAAGGAAGAAUCUGAAAAUUCUGAGGAAGAUCUAAGCAAUCCUUGUAAGAAAAAAAGGAGACAUGGAACAUGGGAAGGGAACUAGGUGUCGUGUCAAUGGAUAAUGACAAGAAAAUUUUGGGGGAAAAUCGUGGAGAUCUCGAGUCAGAAAACAACCUAAUUAGCUUAUCGGAGGUGACUAGAAGGUAUUUGUUUUGGCUACAAAUUAAAUGUCUUUAUAUUAAUCUUGUAGUUUCAUUUUUUGUUGGUUCUUUGGAAUUGGAAGAUGUUCAUAUGAAUUGGAGAUGGGUAUAGAGAUUAUGUGAAUAUAAAUAUUGGGGUUGAUUUAGGAUUGCUUUUGGUUUUGAGUGUGAUAUUUUAAUAAUGUUUAUUCUAUUUCAUGGUUUUACUAUUGGUUGUGUGUGCAAGUAUAGUCUUGUGGGAAGGGAGGUAUACUGGUGUUUUAUGUAUGUGACUUUACACACAAUAACCUAAACAAAGCCCAUACGUACGUACGUACAUACAUGCAUAAAUUUGUAUCUUUUAGUAGAGCAAAAAAUUGAAGGUUUUUCUUACUUUCAAUAAGGAACGUUCUUCCUUCAUCUCAUAUUUAGAAGUGAAAAGGAUUUUUCUAGUUCUUUCCUAAUUAUCUGACUUAAGCUUUGUUUGUUAGAGUGGGAAAAAAUAAGAAGAUGGGUAAUUAAAAGAGGAUAAAAAAUAUAAUUCUUCUUUCCUUAGGUAUGCUUUGUAGGAGAGAUAGAAAAAUUGAAUAAAAAAGAAGUAAUUUUCUUUCAAUUUAUUGCUUGAUAGAGUUGAAAAAUGAGAGGAAAGAAUUUUUUUUUUUUAAAAUGCAUAAUUUUAACCUAACAUGCUUAGGCUUCUCAUUUUCUCUCUUAUCAUUUCAAUUUGGAAUGAUUUAGUUAAUGCUUUAUGAUGGAAAAAAGUCUAUCUCUCAUAUUUUCUUUCCUCAUUUUAUUCUUUAUCAAGCACAUUCAAAAUUUAUUUUCUUUCCAUUUUUCUAUCCCCUUAUAUUCUUUAUAUAUAUAUGCAGAAUGAUGUAUUUAUAGUAUAUGCAUUUUGAGUAUACUAUGAUUGCAAUGAGCUUUCCUCAUUAUAGUAGUACAGGUUGUUUGAUAUAAAAUAAUGGUAAUCCUUUUAUCAUCUCAUCAUCCUGUCCUAAAUAUAUGCAUAUGUUUAAUUACAAAAGGUAAGUCCUGCAAAACUAUUCUAUCAGUAAAAGUUUAAUUAUGUUGCAUUUGAUGAACAUGAAAAUGGUCACUAAUUGUUUUGUUUAGGCUUUUAUAUUUACAUAAUAUAUAACUAAUGAUCGCUUCUCAUGUUUUUGAUCAACCUUUGAAGUGAUAACAUAUGUACUACUCUAUUUUUAGUGGUUCAAAGUAUAGUGUCAAAUGAAAAUGGUGAUUGAAAUUAAGGAUUACACAACAUAUCUAUUCAUAAAAUGAAGGACAAUGAUAAAUUUCAGAGAUUUUAAAAUAGCUCUUCGGCUCAAAUGUUUCAAGUGCUACAUGAUUCUUUCAUAGAACCUGAGUUACUGUAAAGUCCUGACUAAUUUAAUUUUGUUUAUGUGAAUGUUGUCAUAAAUAUGUAUCUAUUUUAGUGGUUAAGUAUUUUGGGUGUGUAUUUGAGGUAUUGGGUUUAAUCCUACUUUAGGAAAUUUUUGUUAUUUUUGAUCCUAGCCUAUCCCUUGGUGGUUUGGCUUAUAUUCUAUUGUUAGUCAAAUUAUAUUUGAAUGAGCCUCUUGAUUCGAGUGAUAAAGUGUUAGUUUGCCCUAAGGUCUUGUGUUUGAAUCCCCACACGAGUGUGAAUGUUAAUUUUUGCUUCGGUUGUGUGAUAAAGGUUCAGUGGAAGUGAAAUUCUGAGUUAGUUGGGUUGUUAAUGGGUUAGUGGGGAGUUGAGAGUUAGUAGGAUUUUAGUUCAAAUUAAAUACUUUUAAUUUUAAUUUAAUUUAUUUUUUCAUUUUCUUGAAAUUUCCCCUUAUUCUAACUUUUUUUCUUUCUUCCCUUUUUUGUGCUCUAUUGAUUUUCUUUCUUUUUCUCCUUUGAUUCUGUCAUAAUUCUUUAAUUAUAUUGCUCUGCUUUGAAUUCGCCGUGUAGAACCUAUAUUUUGCCCGGGCUUAUAGGAAAUAAAAUUAAACAAUCCAUUUAAAGUCCUUUUACAGAACCCAAAUAACAAACCCACUAACCACAGCCCAAAAAUUAAAACCCAAAAUUAAACCUAAAAAUUCUACCCGAAUACCCAUUACACCCAUACCUAAAUUCACAACCCGAAUCAGCCCAAAAUACCCUUUUGAUCCAACAAACAAACACAGCCCAGCAGGCCCAACUAACUUAAGGAGUUUCAGCUUCUGAGAAACCCUAGCUAGGGUUCGCGCCGUAAGCUUCCAGCCGACAUCAACCUCAUGUUGCGCCGCAAUCAAAGGCCUGAAUCAGCAUGCCCUCACCUCCGUCGCAAUCAUCGUGUAUAAACCUGCAAAAGGAAGGAAAAUGGCACAUAAUCGAAACUAAUAUGGCAAGGAAUAAAACCAGAUUUCGUAACAUUUAUUUUUAAAUUCCCAGUGGCUAUAAAAGGCCCAAAUCAGAACGAUGUAAGAGAGUUUUUUUGGGGAUAUAUACGGAUAUAUUAACAGAAAUAAAAAACACAAGCAGUUUUCAUACCAAAGAGCAAAGGUGAUUUAUUUGCUCUAUUUCCUUCUUUAUAUUUUUUUUUGCAUGUAAAUAAUGUUAGAAACGAAUAUAAGGGUUACCUGUUGAUUCGUGAGAGAAAAAGAAAAUUUUAAAGCCCUAACCGCCGGGCACGGUGGUUCAUACGGUGGCGCGUGAAGCGCGUAUUGCCGAAGGCGGUGGUGCUCCGAGACGAGCCAGGACGGCCACUGGCCGGAGCUCUGAGAGAAUUUUAGGGCUCUCUCUCUUUUUUUUUUUUUUCUGUUGAAUGUUUAAAUUCAAUGUUUAAGGUUUUUUUUACUUUUAUAACAUUAGUAAAACGACGCUAUUUUAGCUUAAUUCAAUAAGCCUAAAACGACGUCGUUUCAAAGCAUUAGGAUCCGCGCGUUGACCCGUUUACCCGGGGAGGAUCCGUGCAUUUUUAAUAAAAGGGCUAAUUACCCAAUCGACCCUUUUGUAUUUUCAAUAUUUAUAAUUUCAUUUUAUUUUUAUUAAAAUCUAACCCUAACCUUUUAUUUCUAUUUCAAUUUAGUCCUAAUAGCUCUUAAAGGGUUAAUUUCGGGAACGAUGUCGUUUUUGGAACUAGGGUUAAUUGCCCAGUAAGUCCCUCUGGGUUAACGCGCAUUUCAAUUUAGCCCAAUUUUAUUUAUUUAUUUAUAAUUAAUCCUAAUUUUUUUAAAUUAAAUUAACUUUUAAUAUUUUUUAUAUAUUUAAUUUAUUUUAAAUACCUUAUAUUACUUAUUUUUUAUAAAUAUUAGUUAUAUAAAAUAAUAUAUGUUUUCUUUUUGUUUAUAUUAUUUAUUAUAUUAUUUAUUAUAUUAUUUUUAAUAUUAUAUUUAUAAAUUAUAUUAUAUUAUAUUCUUAUUAUAUAUAUCAUUCAUUUCAUUUUUUUCAUUUUUUAUUUAUUUUUAUUCAUUAAUUGUGCAAAUUGCAAAUUUUUAAAUUAUUAUUAAAUAAUAAUAUCUAUAUUAUCUUUAUUUAUAUAAUGGUAUUCAUAUUUCAUUUAUAUAUAUUACACGUUCUAUUUUAUUAUAUAUUUUUACUAUGUAUGUAUAUUACUCAUUCUACUAUAUUUUUAUAUAUAAAAUUACUCAUAUCAUAUUUACUAUUUUAUACUUUAUCUAUAAUAUAGUUUAUAUUACUAUAUAUUGUGUUUAUAAAUUUUAUUGCAUGUUAUAUUUUACUAUACAUUAUUCUAUAUAUCACAUUUAUUUUAUUAUAAAAUAUACAUUAUUUUACUACUUAUUAAUUAUGUACAUUUUAAAAUUAUUUUUAAUAAGUGUAAUAGCAAUAUUUAGUACAUUAUUUUUUAUAUAUUAAGUUAUUAUACCUUAUAGUAUAAUCUAUUUAUGUGUAUAUCAUUUUAAAAAGAAAAGGGUUCUCUUUUAUCAUUCUUAUAUUAUUCAGUAUAUUUCUAAAUACCUUAUUUUUAUUUGAUUUAUAUUUAUACAUUUUAAUUUGUUUAUUUAUUUUAAUUUUUAUUUUAUUUUGAUAUUGUUUAGUAGGUUAAAUUUUAUAUAAUAUUUGUUAUUUUUUUUACAUAUUUGCACGAGAAUUAAUUAUUUAUGGUAAUUUAAACUACAUUUGCAUAAAAUAUUAUCAUAUAUGUAUAUCGCAAUUUAUAUUUGUUGUAUUCAUUAUGCACUACAUUGUAUUUUGCAUGUAACAAUAAUGUGUUAACAUUUAUGUUAUUUAUGAUAAUAUAUGCAUAAAGUAAUAAUGUAUAUUAUGUAAAUUAUGCCAUUAUCCAUGAUUUUUUAUACUAUAUUUGCAUAAAAUAAUAAAGCAUGUAUUAUGUAGCUAGGUGUUAUUUAAUGUUAAUUUCUUGUAAAGUGAAAGAUACAUCAUUAUUUUCAAAACAAAAUAUCUCAUUUAAUUCAAAAGGAAUUUUUAAAAAAGUGAGGCAAUGUUUUGAUAUUUAGGAAUUCGGGAAGCAGUGCCCUAACAUGUUGGAUUGCGGUUUCCCGUUUGUCUAAAUAUUUAAAAUAUCCUUUUAAAUAAGUUUUACAAAUCACAAGAUUAUUUCAGUUACGAAAGUUUAAAGAUAUCGUGUCCAAUCAUGCUGGAUGUGAUGUUUGUAUUCCUUUAAAACAAAGGAAUCUUGGUUCUUUUCUUAAAAUAUUACGGUUUUAAAUGAAAUCUCAUUUCUAAAUUCUUUCAAACAUCUGACAUUAAGACAAAAUUAUUCAAAUUGGUACCAAUUUUGGGCGUUACGAGGGUGCUAAUUCUUCCUCGUACGUAACUGACUCCCGAACCUAUUUUCUCAUAAUUUCGUAGAUCAAAACGUUUUAUAAAGUGAUCCAAUCGCACUUUAAAAGAUUGGUAGCGACUCCCGUUUUCGUUUUUUGAAACCCAUUUUUAAGGAGGUUUCGACAACUUGGCGACUUCGCUGGGGACUUGAGAGAGUCAAGCCAAGAAAUUGAGUAUUCUUUGUUUUAAUGUCGGAAGUUUGGAAAAUUUAAAAUUGGAUUCUUUUUACAUGUGUUUGAUGCAUAUGUUUAUCAUUUUCUUAUAUAUAUGAUACUGACCUAUUUUUAUUUUGUUGUUAUUAUAUGUCAUUUGGCAUUUAAAGGUGUCGAUUCAAGGCUCAAUUUCUAGAUUAGAAAGUUUUGUAAUGAGGAACGAAUACCUUAAUAAAGUGGAGGACAAUGCUUCUGUCUGUACCUGGUUAGAGAAAACCCAGUUAGAGAAAGGAGAUAGUGUCACUGAGGGGUAUACAUCAGAGUUAUGGGACUUCACCCGUGUUAAUUCGACGCAGAAUGAGUUGCAGGAGUUGAGAGAUGUUUGGGCCCAAUAGGAUGACGAGGCUAAGCAGCUCUUCUAUCAGAAUUAUGGAGACCUUCCUUAUUUGCUAGACGUCAAAGUAGAUAGGCAUUUGUUUCGAGGUAUGGUACAGUUUUGGAACCCUGCUUAUAGUUGUUUUACAUUUGGUGAUGUUGAUCUUGUACCUACUCUAGAGGAUUAUACGACUUUACUGCGUUGCCCGUGGAUUCAGGGUCACAAGGCUUAUGUUAGGCCUGCUAGCUUUCCAGUUUUUACAAAAAAACUGGUAAUGAUUACUGGGAUGAGUAAGCAGUGGGCUGUAGCUCAUGUGCAGCAGAAGGGUGAUAGUAAGUGCAUUCCAUGGGCCGUUUUGAGGGAUUUAAUAUCGACGCAUCUAGAUGUGAAGAAAAGGGUCGACGUCCUGGCUUUGAGUAUAUAUGGCAUGGUGAUUUUCCCAAAGGCGUUGGGGCACAUAGAUGAGGCGGUCGCGGAUUUAUUCGAUCGGCUGGGUAAACUGAACACGCCUGUGGCUGCAAUCCUAGCUGAGACAAUAAGAUCCUUGAGUGCAUGUCGAAGAGCUGGUGAAGGAAGGUUCAUUGGAUGUGCACAAUUGCUGUUGGUUUGGUUUCAUAGCCACUUCUAGAAGUUUGAUAAGGUUCCUUGCCGAGUAUACUUUGAGGGUUAUUCUCCCUUAAAGGAAGCAGUGGACAUGCCUAGGAGAGAUGACAUUUCAGAAGAAAGGUGGAUAGAUAUUCUCCAGAACCUUCAAGAGGAAGAUAUUAUGUGGAAGGCUCCUUGGUUGGUUCCCAGUGAAGUCCUUUAUCGAUGUGGCAGUUUUGAUUGGGUCCUUUUGCCAGGAAUUUGGGGAGUUGUUGGAUAUACACCAUUGCUUGUUCUAAGGCAGUAUCGAGCAAGGCAGUUUAUACCAGCUAACAGGGUUUAGCUCAGAGCGAUUUCUCUUAUAAGGGAGAUCACUACAAGAAGAGGAUGCGAGAGAUUGCUGAGGCUUGGAAGAAGCCUUUUUGUAUGAAGAUCUUGACUGAAGGUUUGACGCAACUCCUGAGUAUAAAAGGUGGUUUAGUAGGAAAGCCAACGAUAAUGUCCCUAAGCUAGUUUUGGGAGUGGUUCGAUCAUUAGAGGAGAGCUUAAGAGUGAUUCCAUCAGAGUUAGAAGUUAUGAAGCAAGAGUUCGAGAGAAAGAAUUCAGAGCUUGAAAAGAGGAUGGAGAAGCUCGAAGAGGAAAAAAUGUGUUUGAGUCUCGAUGUCGAUGUUCAAAAGAUAGAAGUCGAGAAGGUGAAAAAGGAAAAGAGAAAGAUCGAGGAAGAUCGAGAUGAUUUAAAGACACACUACAAGAAGGCCCAGGUAACGUUAAAAAGGGUCGGAUUAGGGAGAUCCUCAGAGCAAUGGCAACAAGAGAUUCAAGAGGAAAGAGCCAAAGUCGAGUAUUGGGAGAAAAGUUUCAAGAGAUGCAGUCGCGUAAUCAGGCCCUAGAAAAGGAAAAUCAGGGAUUAAAAGUUAAGGUGACAGAGCUUGGACGAUCUCUUCAUCAUUAACGAAGUCGUAAUUCUACAGUCGAGUUAAAAGCAAUUCUAAACAAGAUCAAGGAAAUGAAGCACAAUAUUGGAGGGUUGGAAACAACACUACAGGACUGUGAGCAACGGAUUGAGCAGCUCGAGGCAGGAGAAAAACAGUGGAAGGGAGAACUUCACCAUCUUCGAGAUCAAGUGAGAGAUAGAGAUUAUGUCAUGGAAGAGGCCUUAGUUCAGAUUCGAGGGGUUGCUGAACACUUACAGGAUUUGGCAAUACAAGCUAGAACGCUGAGUAUAAUGUAUGAGUCAUCGUCAGACAGGGGACGAGAGUUAGCAUUGUUAUUAGAUAGGGUUAAGACUCUAGGCCUACGGGCGAAAGUGUAUUUGUAAUCUGUUUUAUGAAAAGAUUUUUGUUCCUUAAAUAACGUUUUCUAAAAUGAAACUGAAUCAGAAUCAACAUCUUUUUGCAUUCAUGCAUUUGCAUCUCAUCACAUCAUAUGCAUUCAAGUUUAUAGAAAGACCAUAAUUAGUUAAAUUAUUAGGGAAAAAAGAAUAAGAGAAAAAAAUCUAGAAGCAACACAUCCUUACGAUACACGCGCUAAGUCGAAGAAUAUGGACCAAAGAUUUGAACAGCUACAGAAAGACAUGCAGGACCAAUUGCAGGAACAAUUGGAAAAAAUGUAAAAUGACAUGAGGGAGCAAAUGUUAGAAGCUCAAAGAAACAUGAUGGCUGAGAUGGCUUAACUACUGAGAGCCACUGUUAAGGGAAAGGCUCCCAUGGCAAUCACUGAAGAGGAGAAUGAGGGUCAUCCUCCUGGUUUCACUCCACCUCACAUACAAACCCAACCUGAGGCAUAUCCCCGAGGGCCGUCUGUCACAAUAAGGCCUCAACAGGGUCAAGUCGAUGCUGGGAUCCCCAUAAAUUUCCCAACUGGCUCGGGAUUCAAUUUGUGCGACAAUCCUGCAAAUCCUAUCAUUUCUGACUUAGACAUGGCUGAAAAAGAGGAUUUAAGAACCGAGAUUGCAAGAUAGUUGGAAGAACGCUGCAAAUGGUUGGAGGAAAAUUUAAGGCUUUAGAGAAUGCUGAUGGGCAUCAUAGAGUUGAUGCCAAAGAUCUAAGCUUGGUCCCAAACUUUGUGCUUCCUCACAAAUUCAAGAUGCCAGAAUUUGAGAAGUACAAUGGGACUACUUGCCCAGAAGCCCAUAUUACGAUGUUCUGUAGGAGAAUGACUGGGUAUGUGAAUAAUGAUCAACUAUUGAUCCACUGUUUCCAAGAAAGUUUAAUUGGAGCAGCAGCCAAGUGGUACAAUCAACUGAGCCGGGCCAGAAUAAGUUCAUGAAGGGAUCUUGCACAAGCCUUCAUGCAGUAGUACAAUCAUGUGACUGACAUGACUCCAGAUAGGAUCACGCUGCAAAACAUGGAAAAAAAGCCUAAUGAAAAUUUUAGGCAAUCUGCACAGAGAUGGAGAGAGGUGGCGAUGCAAGUUCAGCCACCGUUGUUGGAGAAGGAGACCACCAUGUUGUUCAUCAACACUCUAAAGGCUCUAUUAAUCACUCACAUGAUUGGGAGUACUACUAAAAGUUUUACGGAUAUAGUCAUGGCGGGAGAGAUGAUCGAGAAUGCCAUAAGAGGUGGCAAAAUCGAGAGGGAAGCAACCAAAAGAUCGGCCCCAAAGAGAAAGGAUGGUGAAGUGAAUAACACAAGUACACGAGGGCAAUCACAGUUGGUCAACCCAAAACAGCUGCGGUUGAGCAACAAAGUUCUCAAAAGAAGGAGUCGGGUACAAAGCAGAAUUCUGAAAGGAUACAAUUCACACCUAUCCCUGUAACGUAUCGUGAGCUCUAUCAAAGUUUAUAUGAUGCACAUGCUAUUUCUCCUUUUCACUUGAAACCACUGCAGCCCCCAUAUCCCAAAUGGUAUGACGCAAACACCAGAUGUGAAUACCAUGCUGGAAUACCAGGGCAUUCGAUCAAAAAUUGUAGCUGUUUUAAGAAGGCCGUAAAGAGGCUUAUUAAGAUGGGGGUAGUAAAGUUCGACAAUACCCCUAAUACUAAAAACCCGCUGCCAAAUCAUGGUGAUCAAGGAGUGAAUGCCAUUGGCGAAGUUAGUGAGAGAAGAAUGAAGGAAGAUGUUGCUGAGAUAAAGACGCCUAUGAGGGUGAUUUGGGAGGAGAUGAUGAAGAGAGGUAUGAUAACCUCUAAAAAUGCGAGAAGAGGAACAAGGAACUAUGGUGAGUUCCAUGAAGAUUGCGAAGAAUUCAAGGCCUUGGUGCAAGGCUUUAUAGACAAUAAAGAGCUACAAAUUUUUGAAGGUAGCUCUUGUGAAAAACAAGUAUGUGUGCUGGAGGAUGAACAGAAAGGAACUAGCUGGCCAAGGAUUAGUAUUUCCAUACUGGGGAAUAAUAAAGUGGGGACACAAAUGGAACCUAAAGUCAUCAUUCACAAACCUGUUUCCUUUCCUUAUAAGGAUAACAAGAGGGUACCAUGGAGUUAUAAUUGCCAUGUGUCAAUGCCGGAGAAGAAGGAUAUAGACAGUACGUCUAAGGAUGUACAAGUUGAGGGUUCUCAUACACGGAGUGGGAAGUGGUAUAAUACGGUGGGUAGCAGAGAAGAGCCCACAAAAACAAAGAAUACUAGUGCGGAGAAGGAGAAAGAGGCUGAAGUGUCUGUCAAGGAGCCAGUAAAAGAGGAAGAGGCUAGGGAAUUUCUAAAGUUCCUUAAGCAUAACGAGUAUAGCGUGGUUGAGCAGUUGCGUAAGUAGUUGGCUCGCAUAUCAAUAUUAGCUCUACUUCUGAGUUCUGAGGUGCAUCGGGAUGCAUUGAUGAAGGUGCUUAACGAAACAUAUGUCACCCAUGACAUAUCCGUUAACAAGCUGGACCGGUUCGUGAACAACAUAAGCGUGGACAAUUUCAUUUACUUUAAUGAUAAUGAAAUCCCACCGGGGGGCGGGGGUCAACUAAGGCUUUGCACAUUACCACUCGAUGCAAGGGGUACACACUCCCAAGCGUGCUUAUCGAUAAUGGAUCAGCCUUGAAUGUUCUACAGUUGUCUACAUUGAAUAGAUUACCCAUUGAUUAUUCUCAUAUGAAGACAUGUCAAAAUGUGGUAAGAGCCUUUGACGGUACCGAAAGGAAGGUGAUGGGAAGGAUUGACAUCCCCUUGGAAAUUGGGCCGAAUAUAUACGAAAUAGACUUCUUGGUGAUGGAUAUCAAGCCCUCUUACAAUUGCUUAUUAGGAAGGCCAUGGAUACAUACAGCAGGAGCGGUACCCUCAUCGUUGCACCAGAAACUGAAAUUAGUAACGGAUAGACGGUUAGUAACCAUCAAUACGGAGGAGGACAUUAUAGCCGCAAUCACUAGCAAGGCCCCUUAUGUCGAGACAAACGAAGAGUCUAUUAAUUAUUCCUUUCGCUCUUUAGAAUUUGUAAAUACAACUUUCAUUUCGGAAAGGAGUAAGUUAUUGGUGCCCAAGAUAGCAGGAGCUACGAGGAUGGCUCUACAAAUGAUGGCAGAAAAAGGAGCCUUACCAGGAAAAGGAUUAGGAAAAUACCUACAAGGAGGGACUCAAAUCCUAGAACUUAAAGAGAAGAGAGAACGCUUUGGUCUGGGCUUCAAACCAGACUAUAAGCAAAGGAGGAAAGAAAUUGAGAAGCACCAAGAGGGAAGAAGGGCGCGCCUUAAUAGAAGAGAAGUGGAGUGGGAGUCGAAUGCAUUUCCUCCAAUAUCCCAAACUUUCAUAUUGGGAGGAUUAUUUAUAGAAGAAAGUUAUCAGAUUAAUGCUAUACAAGAUAAAGGAUCAAAGCAAGGAAACCUUGAGUACAUUCGCCCUUACGAACUGGGAAGCUCUCUGAACAAUUGGACUGCGGAGGAACUUCCUGUAGUCUUUAGGAAUUUUUCAGAGUAAUUUUUGAAACAUUUUUGUUACUCUAGGGCCUAGGAGUAAAAGAAUUACAUUUGUGAAAUAGGCUUACGAUCAUUUAUUAUUUUUUAAUAAAACAUAACUUUUAUCAAUUUGAACGAGUAUUGUUUCAUUUUUAUCAACCAAUAUUCCUUUGCAAUUCUUAUUCUUUCAUUCAUAGCACAUAAAUAAUCAUUCUUAAAUUCAUUCAUUCUUUGUAUAUUCUUUAUAUGUCACAGAUCCCUAGAUAUCAAUGACAUGAGCACUGAUAUUACAAAUCCUGAUUUCUCUCGCGAGCAAGACAUGUGUUUAGAGGAAUUUCAGGAUUUUGAAGAUGUCCAGGAUUGUGAUGUGUCUUUGGAUCUUUUGAGGAUGGUAAAAUAAGAGGAGAAACAAAUCAUGCCACAUGAGAAAGAGACAAUAGAGAAUGUAGCCCUAGAGUAAGGGAAAGAGGUGAAAAUUGGCACGCAUAUUGCCGAGGACACAAGGCAAGGACUAAUUGAGUUGCUACGUAAGUUCAAGGAUAUCUUCGCAUGGUCCUAUCAAGAUAUGCCAGGGUUAAAUACCGAUAUUUUGGUGCAUCGUCUUCCGAUAAGACAGGAUUGUAAGCCAGUCCAAUAGAAGUUGCGAAGAAUGAGACCAUAUAUCGUAUUAAAAAUAAAGGACGAAGUCAAGAAGCAGUUUGAUGCAAGAUUCUUACAAGAGGUGAAGUACUCUAAAUGGGUAGCUAACAUUGUACCAGUUCCUAAGAAGGAUGGGAAGGUACGAAUGUGCGUUGAUUACAGAGAUUUGAACAAAGCUAGCCCAAAUGAUAAUUUCCCUCUGCCACACAUAGACACUUUGGUAGACAACACAGCGGGAUAUUCGUUUUUCUCCUUGAUGGAUGGUUUUUCAGGGUAUAAUCAGAUAAAAAUGCAUCCUGAGGAGAUGGAUAAAACCACAUUCAUAACAUUGUGGGGUACCUUCUAUUACAAGGUAAUGCCUUUUGGGUUGAAGAAUGUAGGGGCAACAUACCAAAGGGCUUUGGUGACCUUAUUUCACGAUAUGAUGCACAAGGAAAUUGAGGUGUAUGUCGAUGAUAUGAUUGCCAAAUCUCGAAUGGAGGAGGAACAUAUUGAAGUUUUAAAGAAACUGUUCUUGAGAUUAAAGAAGUUUCAGUUAAAACUUAAUCCGGCAAAGUGCACUUUCAGAGCUAGGUCGGGGAAAUUACUAGGCUUUGUGGUCAGCGAAAAAGGAAUAGAAGUUGACUUAGACAAAGUUAAAGCCAUAGGAGAUUUGCCUCUGCCACGUACUCAGAAGGAAGUUCAGGGUUUUCUUGGAAGGUUGAAUUAUAUUGCUUGGUUUAUUUCACAAUUAACUGAGAAAUGUGACCCUAUAUUUCGCCUCCUUAGAAAACACAACCAAGGUACCUGGAAUGAGGAAUGCCAGGAUGCCUUUGAUAAAGUCAAGCAAUACUUGUUAAACGCUCCAGUACUAUCUCCACCUAGUCCAGAUAAACCAUUAAUUCUGUACUUGUCGAUAUUUAGUAAUUUCAUGGGACGUGUGCUUGGUCAACAUGAUGAGACGGGAAGAAAAGAUAAGGCGAUAUACUACCUUAGUAAGAAAUUUACAGAGUGCGAGAUGAGAUAUUUACUAAUUGAGAAAUUGUGUUGUGCUUUAAUCUGGACGACUCGAAGGUUAAGACAGUACAUGCUGUAUCAUACUACUUGGCUUAUUUCAAAAAUUGAUCCUUUGAAGUAUAUGAUGGAGUCAACAGCGUUGAAUGGGAGAAUGGCGAGAUGGGAAAUUCUGCUUUCAGAAUUUAACAUAGUCUAUGUGAGCCAGAAGGCUAUAAAAGAAAGCGCGAUAGCGAAAUUUCUGGCUAGUAGAGAUCUAGAAGACUAUGAGCCGUUGAAUUUUGAUUUCCCAAAUAAGAAGUUGAUGUGUGUGGCAACUACAGAGGAUUGUCCUUGGAAGUUGAGCUUUGAUGGGGCAUCCAAUGCAGUGGGAAAUGGAAUUGGGGCAGUCCUGGUAUCCCCAAAUGGCAAUUAUUAUCCAUUCACAUGCAAGUUAGAUUUCGAUUGCACAAACAAUAUGACCGAGUAUGAAGCGUGCAUCAUGGGACUCCGAGCGGCUAUAGAGCGAGGAAUAAGAACCUUAGAAGUAUAUGGAGACUCUGCAUUGGUAAAUUACAAGCUUAGAGGUGAAUGGGAGACAAGGGAUCCUAAAUUGAUCAAUUAUCGAAAGGUAGUUUUGGGGUUACUUGAAGAGUUUGAUGACAUCACUUUCAAUUAUAUCCCACGAGAUGAAAACCAGAUGGCAGAUGCUCUAGCAACCUUGGCUUCAAUGAUUAGAGUGAAUAAAGAGGAGGAGAUGAGACCCAUUCAGAUGAGUAUCUUUGAGGCUCCAGCUCGCUGUUGCAAUAUUGAGGAAGAAGAAAAGGAUGAUAACCCUUGGUAUCAGAAUAUAUUACGGUAUGUGAGAGAUCAUAAAUAUCCAGAACAGGCAACUGAAAUUGAUAAGUGAACUUUAAGGAGAUUGGCCUACGAGUACAUUUUGGAUGGGGACAUCUUAUACAAAAGAAGAAAAGACCAAGUACUCUGGAGAUGUGUUGACGCCGUGGAGGCUAAGUUAAUCUUGGAAGAAGUUCACGAGGGUGCUUAUGGGACGCACGCUAAUGGUUUUACAAUGGCUAGACAGAUCAUGAGGUCUGGAUACUAUUGGUCUACUAUGGAAGGGGAUUUAUCAACUACGCCAAGAAAUGGCAUAAAUGUCAGAUCUAACGAGACAAGAUUCAUGUACCACCUUCACCUCUACAUGUUAUGACUUCUCCAUGGCCUUUUUCUAUGUGGGGCAUGGAUGUCAUUGGACCAAUAUCACCAAAAGCUUCAAAUGGACAUCGCUUUAUUUUCGUAGUCAUUGAUUACUCACGAAGUGGGUAGAGGCUGCCUCUUAUGCAAAUGUUACUAAGUCGGUUGUAAGUCGAUUCUUGAAGAAAGAGAUCAUUUGUCGGUAUGGGAUGCCUGAGAGGAUCAUAUCAGACAAUGCAUUAAACUUGAACAAUAAAACGAUAGCAGAAGUUUGUAGUCAAUUCAAGAUUAAGCAUCAUAAUUCAUCUCCAUAUCGCCCAAAGAUGAAUGGGGUAGUGGAAGCUGCUAACAAAAACAUCAAGAAGAUAGUGGGGAAAAUGACUGAAACCUACAGAGAUUGGCAUGAGAAGUUACCAUUUGCACUUUUAGCCUACCGAACGUCUGUCAGAACCUCUACUGGGGCAACUCCUUUCUCGUUGGUUUAUGGGAUGGAAGCGGUGUUACCCAUUGAAGUUGAAAUACCUUCUCUUCGAAUUUUUUCAGAGAUAAAGCUGGAUGAGGCAGAGUGGAUUCAAUCGCGGUAUGACCAAUUGAACUUGAUUGAGAAGAAGAGGCUAAAAGCUAUUCACCAUAGCCAGAUGUAUCAGAAGUGAAUGAUUCGAGCUUACGACAAGAAAGUGCGACCAAGAGAGCUCCACGAAGGGGAUCUUGUGUUGAAAAAGAUCUUUCCCAUUCAGAAAGACUUUAGAGGAAAAUAGAUGCCAAAUUGGGAAGGGUCGUAUGUCGUGAAGAAGGCUUUCUCUGGAGGUGCAUUGAUCUUGACAGAAAUGGAUAGGAAGAGUUUACCCAAUCCAGUGAAUUCAGACUCAGUCAAAAAGUACUUUGUCUAAAGGAGAAGAGAAUCCAAGGUGAAAACCCGCAAAGGGUGCCUUGAGUUUUCAAAAAAAAAAAAAGAAAAUGGAGAAGCCAAGGUGAAAACCCGCAAAGGGCACCUUGUGACCAAAGGGGUUUUGAGUUGAAAAUCCGAAAGGGCAGCUCAAAUUUUGAAGAGCACAUAGUAAUCGUGCUAUAUCUGAUUCAAUAAAGAGCAAAGAGCGUUGCAUAUUGGGGCAUCAACAAAGUACUUUGACUCUUUUAAACACAUGUUGAACUUAAGAAAGUCUUCAUGAAGCUGGUGUUUAGACGUUCAAGCGGCGGUAUCUAGAGCAUUUAACUCUUAUCCUGUUUGCUAUCUUUAGAUUCUAUUUCUUCUUAAAGAUAGGCUUUCAGAUUAAUUCCCUUUGUAUUUUUGACAAAUUUAUUCAAAUCUAAUUAUUCUCAAGAUUAAAUUCAUCUUCCAUUAUUCUUAAAGUGUGUUGCAUUAAAUAAUGAUAGAUGAACUAAAUGAUUUUCACAAAUGAAGUUUUGCUCAUUACUCUGGAAGUUUCUAGAUAAUACAAGAAACUGAAACGGAACAAUUGUUCAAGGAAUUCACGUAAGUGAGGUUCGAAAGAACUCGAGGGAAUUAUUUCUUUAGUCCAAAAUGAUGAUUGGACAAAUCAAACAAUUUGAUCCUAAGAGAGGAUCAUCUUACAAACAUUUUUGAUGGGUCAUAGCAUUUGAAGAAUGGUACAGACCCACAGGCUAAGUAAGAAUGAUAGUUCGAGAGAAAUAAGGAUGAGCUUUGCCGAAGGAAUGAGUAGUGACGUUUGAAAUAGUGGUCAUAUUCAUAAACAUUUUGCAUUAUAGCAGAUUUAAUUAGGAGCAUUUGACUCACUUCAAUCAUAGCAUCCUAAUCAUUAGGCAUGAACUCAUAUGCAUUAUACAGGUUAAGUCCUUCAAAGGACAAUGAAGAUUGAUGCACCUCAACCCCCUAAGCAGUAGGGUAGCAGGCUAAAGCAUAGCAAAUUUGGCUUUCACGUGUUUACACUGAAGUGAAUCUAAGAAGAUUUGGCAUUUCUGUAUUGUCAGAAAGCAGAUCGAAGAUAGCAUAUUUGGUAUCUCUGUAUUGUCAGAGAACAGAUCGAAGAUAGCAGAUUUGGCGUCUCUGUAUUGUCAGAGAGCAGAUCCAAGAUGAUUUGGCAUCUUCGUAUUCGACGAGGAGCAAAUCCAAGAAGCAGAUUUGGCAUUCAUGUAUGUUCAGCGAGCAGAUCCAAGCUGAUUUGGCAUCUUCGUAUUCGACGAGGAGAAAAUCCAAGAAGAAGAUUUGGCAUUCCUGUAUGGUCAGGGAGCAGAUCAAAGAUGAUUUGGCAUCUUCAUAUUCGACGAGGAGCAAAUCCAAGAAGCAGAUUUGGGGUCUCUGUAUUGUCAGAGAGCAGAUCGAAGAUAGCAAAUUUGGUGUCUCUGUAUUGUCAGAGAGCAGAUCGAAGAUAGAAGAUUUGGUGUCUCUGUAUUGACAGAGAACAUAUUGAAGAUGGCAGAUUUGGUGUCUCUGUAUUGUCAGAGAGCAGAUCGAAGAUGACAGAUUUGGCAUCUCUGUAUUGUCAGAGAGCAGAUCAAAGGUAGCAGAUUUGGCAUCUCUGUGUUGUCAGAGAGUAGAUCAAAGAUAGUGUAUUUGGCGCCUCUAAGCAGAUCGAAGAUAGCAGACUUGGCGUCUCUGUAUUGACAGAGAGCGGGUCAAAAAUAUCAACAUGGCGUCCCUGAGGUUGCAGGGAGCAAGUUGAAGAUAGCAGAUAUUGCCUUCCUGAAGUUACAAGUGAAGCAAAUUGAAGCUGUCAUAUUUAUGAUCCAAUACCUCUGAAGUUGCAGAUAGGUUGAAGACCAUUGGAAGAAAAGAUCUCAAAGACUGGGCCAGACCAGGCAAAAUGGGUCAUUUUAUAGUCUUUGCUUUAUUCCUGUUACACAGCAAAGAGCAAAGAGGGGCAGCUGUAGAACCUAUAUUUUGCCCGGGCUUACAGGAAUUAAAAUUAAACAAAGAAAUAAAAUUAAAUAGUCCAUUUAAAGUCCUUUUACAGAACCCAAAAUACAAACCAACUAAUCACAGCCCAAAAAUUAAAACCCAAAAUUAAACCUAAAAAUUCUACCCGAAUACCCAUUACACCCAUACCAAAACUCACAACCCGAAUCAGCCCAAAAUACCCUUUUGAUCCAACAAACAAACACAGCCCAGCAGGCCCAACUAACUUAAGGAGUUUCAGCUUCUGAGAAACCCUAGCUAGGGUUCGCGCCGUAAGCUCCCAGCCGACAUCAGCCUCGUGUUGUGCCGCAAUCAAAGGCCUCAAUCAGCAUGCCCUUGCCUCCGUCGCAAUCAUCGUGUAUAAACUUGCAAAAGGAAGGAAAAUGGCAUAGAAUCGAAACUAAUAUGGCAAGGAAUAAAACCAGAUUUCGUAACAUUUAUUUUUAAAUUCCCAAUGGCUAUAAAAGGCCCAAAUCAGAACGAUGUAAGAGAGUUUUUUUUGGGAUAUAUACACAUAUAUUAACAGAAAUAAAAAACACAAGCAGUUUUCAUACCAAAGAGCAGAGGUGAUUUAUUUGCUCUAUUUCCUUCUUUAUAUUUUUUUUGCAUGUAAAUAAUGUUAGAAACGAAUAUACAGGUUACCUGUUCAUUCGUGAGAGAAAAAGGAAAUUUUUAAAGCCCUAACCGUCGGGCACGGUGGUUCAGACGGUGGCGCGUGAAGCGCGUGUGGACGAAGGCGGUGGUGCUCCGAGACGAGCCAGGACGGCCACUGGCCAGAGCUCUGAG